UUUUUUUUUUUUUUGCAGUAUGGUUAUUACAGAGCUUCCUUCGGAACAUGCUAAGAAAGCCCUUGAGGCAGUAUGCCUGCCAUCUGUUGCUCCAUUACAAGUAAGUUUCCUUUCUAAAAUUUUAUGAAUGACUUUAAGUGUCAAUUUACAAAUACUUGGAGUUAACUACCAGGAGAUGAUCAAUCAAGGUCCCCAAGUUUUGGGGCAAAAAAACGCUCGGGAAUUAACAGUUCAUUUUGACCGACUUGCAAAUAUAUUCAGGUACAGGCAAUUUCCUUGUUCCGUUUUUCAUCUGUUUGAUUCUAUUUGCAUUGUCAAUUUUGGGACUGAAACCAUUUGCAGAUAUGUAAAUCACCCAGAAGCGGUUGCAGAUGCAAUUCAAAGACUUUGGCCAAUUUUCAAAGCCAUUUUUGAUGUGUAAGAAAGCUGUUUGCUGUAAAUAUUGCUUUCAGGAUAACUCUUUGAUUAUAAACUUCCCUAAUGGUAGUGUUUGAUGAUAUUCACAUAGUCGUGCUUGGGACAUGCGGACAAUGGAGUCUCUUUGCCGGGCUUGUAAAAAUGCUGUAAGUUCAGUAAUCUAUGCCAUCUCCUGCCAAGGGAUUCAAGAAAUCAUUCAUCAAGCUGCCUAUUCCUGAAAAAUGUUGUAGUGACACAACUUCUCCUGUAAAUAUGUGGCGUUUUUCAUAGUCCUUUGAAUGCUUCGUGUUCUUCUCUUCUUUAUUCUUGUGCCUCUUGACAUCUACAUCCGUAGCUGAUUUUUUCUUCUUUCUGUGAAUUUUUGCUGUCUUAUGUUCCUUAAUGUAUGACCUCAAACUGCUUUUAUGUUACUCUUUGAAAUUGUGAUUGAUAAUAUUCCCUACAGCUUAUUUAAAGUGGCCUGUUCUGAACUCUGAAGACAAGGAUGAUCAAGAUUCUAGUCCGAGCCCGACAAUGAGCAAAUGGUAUUAUAACUUUCCUAACUCUGAUGAUUUCAUCCAUUAGGUACGAACUUCUAAGAGGCUCAUGGGGGUUACAAUUGGGGCGAUGCUGGAGGAAAUACAAGGACUAUAUGGACAACACCAUCAGCCGUGUUUCCUUUAUCUCUCUAGUGAAGUCAUAAAGGUAUUUGAGUUCUUUCUUACAUUGCAAAAUUUUAACCAAAUUUGCAGUUUCCAUUUUAAGCAACAGUUGGAACUUCUGCCGCAGAUAUUUGGUUCAGAUCCAUCCUGUGCAAAUUACUUGAAAGUUCUCAUUGAGUCUCUCUUUAGCCAUACAGCAUGUCUUCUUACAAAGAUUCAGGUACAGUCUGUUGCUUUAUUUUGCAUUUCACUGCUAGUUAUGUAAGCUAACUCCGAAGUGUGGUUCACAGGAUUUCACUUCCCGUCCGGAUAUAGCAGAUGAUUGUUUUUUGCUUGCAUCAAGAUGUAUCCGAUACUGUCCUCAACUAUUUUUUCCCUCUACUGUGUUUCCAUCAUUGGUGGAUUGUGCCAUGAUCGGCAUCACCGUGCAGCACAGGUAAGUUCUCUCCAUUUCCUCCUCACCCCAUGAACAUUAUGGCCUGUUUACAUCUAUUUUAAUGUAAAGAGGAAGCUCUGGUUCUACACGUCUAAAGUGAUGAAGAUUUUGUAUUCUGGACAAUAACAUAAAACUGUGAGAAAUGUGAGAUAAAUUGGUAGAAUUUGUGAGGACAAACGUCUUAUGGUUGAAUCUUGGCAGCGCCAAUAAUUUAUCUCUUCAUGUGUAGAAUACAAUUGUUGAGAUAUAUACCUUCGUAGGCAAAAAAUCAAUUUCAUCUAUAACUUUAACAUUUUUAUUUAACUAUCUGAUACAGACCUCAAGCUGGUGGCUGCAUGUCAUACAUGCCAUGUCUGUUACAGAUGUAAUUAGUGCAGGGACUGUAACUGACUUGAUGACUUCUGUGUGAGCCAAUCAUUUAAUUUUAUGAUUUUUGUUAUAGUGCCUCUCAUGAGAGUAUCUUUUCUCUGACAAAACAACAGUAAAUUUUAAUUGCUUGACCUCUUAUUAUGUAAUGGCUUUGGUAUAACAUAAAAUGCAAUUUAAUUAUUUCACACAAGUUGCAUCUGGCUUAGCUCUACCAACUUCAAUUCUUUGAGUAGUUUGGCAGCAUGAGUCCAAGCUGCUGUGGUUGUGGUGCUUUGUACACUAGAUUUUGCAAUCACAUUUUCUUUCUUUCUUUCCUAGGAGAAGUUGCUCCAACUAGAAUGCUAUACUUAGACUUAUAGCGUCCAGCAAAGUAUGUCACCAUCCAAUCUGCACCGGUCAUGUUUGAUUCACGUGGAGUAGUACUUCAUCUGGAGCUUAUUUUAUAUGCUGAAGCCUGAAGCAUGCAUCCUGAUGAGUAUCACUAGAGAAUGAAAUUUGUCGUCCUAACUAGAAAGAUAAUAUUAGGUCUGUCAUUGUGAGGUAGUUUAGUUUACCAACUUUUUAUAUCUCCCUGGAACACCAAGAGGCUCCUCUGAUCUAGUAGAUCACUAAGGGGACCAAAAUCUUAUUUCAUCAUAAAUUGAUUUUCUUCCCUAUGAGUUAGUCUCAAUAAUACCAUGGUUUUUGUGACAUUGACAAAUAUAACUGUCAGAAAAGAGCGGAGGAAAAGGAUUCAUGUAGAUAACUAUAAUCAAGUACCUGAGUGAAUGAUACAAGAACUGAGUCACUGGACACGGCCAGUUUGAUUAGCAUGAACUACUUGAUGAGACAUUAACUGGUCUGAUGCUGAAGGAACACAUAUUCACUGCGUUGGUUGUCAUAUUUUGUUGCAUUUCUCAAUGCAAUAUAAGCAGCAGUUUGUUCCAUAUCAAUAUGGCGCUAUAUUUGUUUCCAAAGUCCAUUGCCUACAAUAUGAAUUACAGAGGCCAAGUACCCAACAUAUUUAGUAAAAGUACACUUGCAGUUGAAUUUUAAUCUGUCAAGCGUAGAAUCAUCUUUUCAUACUCCCUCUGUUUCAAUUUAAGGUGUCUUAGUUUGAUUAGGCACGGAGUUUAAGAAAAUAUGGGAGACUUUUGAAUCUUGUGGCCUAAAACUAAAGAUGUGGGUAAUGUAUCAAGAUUUCCGUUGAAUCUUGUGGUCUUAAACAAACCAUGUAAAAUGGUGGAAUUAAGGAGUUACCAAUGUCAUUCUUUCUGAAACAGACUAAAACCGAAAGUAAGGCACUUACAUUGAAACGGUGGGAGUAUAUCAUUGUCCACUCAUCUAUCUAAUUACUAGAGAACCUAUCUGGAACUGCAAGGAAACUCUGGCCCUUUUAGAUUUGGAUUUCUCUUCUCUAGUAAUUCUAUUAUCUAUUUGGUAUGAUAUUUUAUUAUGUUUUGAUUGUUCUAAAUUUCGAAUUAUUGACUGGAUUGUAGGGAGGCUUGCAAUUCAAUAUUGAACUUUGUAUCUGAUAUAUUCGAUCUUGCAAACUCUACAAACGGAGAAAGUUGCCUAUCCAUAAGGGACAGUGUAAUUAUUCCUCGAGGGCCCACUAUCACCAGAAUUUUGGUUGCUUGUCUAACUGGAGCCCUUCCUAGUUCACGACUAGAAACAGUAAGUACAAAUCAUUAUUUUUUAUAGAACGCAGAUGGGUGAAGAGAAAGGUAGUAUUAGUUUGUUGCAUUCAAGAGUUACUCUGAGCUGUUUUCUUUGUAGGUAACUUACGCUCUACUGGCAUUGACCCGGGCUUAUGGGUUGAAAGCUCUUGAGUGGGCAAAGGAAUGUGUGUCCUUAAUUCCAUCAACAGCUGUUACAGAAUUGGAAAGGACUAGAUUUUUACAAGCCUUGUCAGAUGCAGCCUCUGGAGCAAAUAUGAACGGUCUGGUAGUUCCGAUUGACGAGAUUUCAGAGGUUUGCCGACGUAAUCGAACUGUUCAGGAGAUAGUUCAAGGAGCUUUGAGGCCACUUGAUCUGAACAUAGUAGCUGUAUCAUAGUGGAGAGGGUGCAGAAGGGCCUUUUUUAACCUCUCCCUUCUCUGCAGGCAGUAGUUUUUCAUGAUUCUUUGGAGGCCUUAUUUCAUCGUUUGUCCAUUGUGCGGCUUGGGAAUAUGUACGAGUUAUGCAGCAAAAGGGUGUUGUAUUGUUGUUACUUUUUCUACUUGUGGAAAGUGAUAGAGGAACUCAAGCAGAUGCAGUUCACUUGGUUUGGCUUUUUCACUUUCGGUCCUUUUUCGUUUUGGGGGGGUUUUCUUUUGAGGGUGAGGAGUUUCCAGUUUUGAGGUUUUAAUCCUGGUGUUCAAUAUACAAGCUUCUUGUAUUUGGUAAGAUUUUCCAGUUUACAACUGUGUAUAGAAUGUGCAGUUUCUUUCAGUUCAAUAGAUGAUGAAUGCUUAGUGAAGGAAUGUGGUAUGCAAAUCAAACAUGUUGUUUAUCACCUGUUUUAUUUCACAUUAUGGAGGAUGCAAUCUUACUUUCCUGCUUGGUUUCUCAGAUCUCUAAGUGUUGGUGUUAUAAAUAUAUCUCAUCCAGCUUUUCGUUGGUUAUUGUGUCACUAUAUGGAAUUCGAUAAACUUUACUUUGUGACUUGAAAAAUUCUGUCUUGUUUUGUAAGGUAUGCAACUUUUCUAGAAAAAAGAAGGUAGAUGUUUAAUUUUAUAUGAAACUUAUACUUUGAGCCAGGGGUGAAUUUAUACACUAAAAUUGGGACACAUGAAUAUGUGGUUUCUCCAUAAAAUUAGGUAUUUAUGUAUACAUAUCUUUUUUAAAUGAUUUAAUAUUAUCUGUUGGCAUCCAUCUUACUAGAAGAAGAUUAACUGAUGUAUUUGAUUGAAUGUUGAGUUAUUUGACUUUAUACGUUUCUCUCUUUUAUUUAGUGGUGCACCAAUGUUUUACAAAUCCUAUGGGACAUAUUCCAUAUUCAAAGGACUACUAUUCUCUGAGGCACAUUUUCUUUAAUGAUCGUAAUAACACUAUGAAGUCUGAACUCUACCUAACAAAUAAGUAAUAACAAUAAAUAAUUUAGCUUGCUCCAACUUCUACGUGGGUCUUGAAAUAAAUAAAGAAAAAGUUGAAAAUCCUCUCUUAGAUUUGAGAGUUCCACUCAAAAUCAUCUAUAAUAUUAUAUUAUAUUAUAUUAUAUUAUAUAUAAUAUAGAUAGGAGUAACAUGUAAUACGAAUAGUUCUCAAAAUCUUAAGAAACUGUGCGUAGAGUAUUUCAUAUCAAAUCAAAUAAUUUUAUAUUUUAGUAGUUAAAACUAAAGUGAGAAUAUAUCAGUUGACAUAAUUAAGUGAAAAUGGGUGCAUGCAAAUUACCUAUUCAGGUUCAGUAUAAACGUGAUGUAUGUAUCAAUAUAAACGUGAUAUCAAUAAAUUAUUAGUCCCUAUGUCUCUAAUUAUUUGUCCAUUUUUCAUUUUUAGUUGUCUCUAAUUACUUGUCCAUUUUGACAAAUCAAUAAAGAACAAAUUUUUUUUUUACCUAUUAUCCCCUCAAUUAAUCACUUUGAAAAAUGUAGAACUUCUUGAAAAGCUUAAGUUUUUUUAAUUCAUCUACUUCAUAAUUAGUAGGGAUAAAAUGGUUGUUAAUAAUUAUUUUCUUAAUAGAUGUGUCAAUUCAAGAAUGGACAAGUAAUUAAGAACGGAGGGAGUAUUAUACUACUAAAGAUAACUUUGAAUUUUUUAAUUUAAACUUUUGAUAUGUUAUGAUUAAAAUUAGGGGAAAUGCAUAAGUACCUCCAGCCUAUGCCCAAAAUCUCUGAGACACACCUAACAUUUACUAAGGUCUUAUUACCCCUCCGAACUUAUUUUAUAUAUAAUUUUCUACCCCUUUACGGCCUACGUGGCACUAUCCUUGAAAAAAUUGUCAACACGCGCUGGACCCACAAGAUAGUGCCACGUAGGCCGAAAUGGGGUUGGAAAUUAUACAUAAAAUAAGUUCGGGGGUAAUAGGACCUUAGUAAAGGUUAGAUGUGUCUCAGGAAUUUUGGGCAUAGGCUGGAGGUACUUAUGCAUUUUCCCUUAAAAUUAUAAGAUUUAAAGAACAUUUCGAUACAUGUGAUAUAUCUUUGAUUUAAAAUUGUAAAGAUCAAUAAAAAAUUUUACUUUUUAAAAUUUUGUUAUUUAAUUUGAUCUUAGAUAUUCCCUAUGUCCCUAAUUACUUGUCCACUUUUCUUUUUAUAAUUGUCCCUAAUUAUUUGUCCAUUUUGACAAAUCAAGAAAGGACAAAAUAAUUUUAUCUAUUAUACCCUCAAUUAAUUACUUUGAAAAAAGUACAAUUUCUUGAAAAUCUUAAAUUUUUAAUCCAUCCACUUCAUAAUUAAUAGGGAUAAAAUAGUAAACUCAUUAUGUCAAUAAUUUAUUUCUUAAUAGGUGCGUCAAUUCAAAAGUGGACAAGUAAUUAGGGAUAGAGGGAGUAACAUUUAUGAUGUUUAACUUAAAUACGUGUUCUAUUCAACAUAAUACAAAUUGAGGCGCAUCAACAUAAUUUGGGUUUUUUUUUUUGUUUGUGCCCCAAUAUACGGAAUCAUGGUAAAGCUUCGAUUAAAUUCAGAUCGCAGAGCGCAUGUCCCAUUAAGAAGUGGCGUUGGUCAGCACAAGUUGGGUUUAGAACAAUUUCCUUUUCGUGUUGGAUUUCACUUCCCACUUGCCCCGUCUCUCUCUAUACUUUCAUUUGCCUCUCUCUCUCUUUCAUGUUCAUUCAUGCAUCUGUAAUUUGCAAAAUUCACUGUACCCAUUACUUCUCUGCUGAUAAAUCACGGCUUCCUUCUUCUUCUUCUUCCCCUAAGCAAACACCCUUCAAAGUUGCAACCUUUCACUUUCUUGAUUCUUCUUUUCCAUUAAUUAGUCCCUGCAGAUCCCUGAUGUAGCCCUUUUUCUUUCACAGCCUGCUCUGAGUUCAAUCUCAGCUGGCUUUUCUUGCCUAAACCACAUUCUUGAUUCACAAAAUAGCAAUAGUAAAGAUACAAUCUUUGUUAUUUUGGCUGACCAAUUGAUAAAGGGGUUUCAAGAAUUCUUGUUAAUAUGGCCUUUGCAGCUCAGCAGAAGAAGGCUAUUCAUUCCAUGUUAGCAAACAAGCUGACCCAUCUCAAAAUCCCUGACUCUUCUUCAUCAUCUCCUCCUUCUACUGAUCCAGAUUUUGAUUUUUCUGAUGUAUUUGGUGCUCCUACCUCUUCUUCAUCUCCUUCAUCUUCUUCCAGUUUUCUAACUGACCCACAAAUCAUUCAUAGUAGGUCCCACUCUUUUGUGGGUCCAUCUCCAAGGAUCACUCUCUCAAAGCCUCUGCCUUUUCACCAAGAAGUUGAUUCUGAGAGUGAAAGUGAUAGUGAUAAAGUUAAUACUCAUGUAGGUACUCACCAAACUGAAUGUACUGAUGGGGUUGAAGAGAUUAGUGGAGAUGAGGGGUUAGCUGUAACAAAAUUUGGGCCAGGGGAUUUUGAGAUCUUGAGGAUGAUUGGAAAAGGUUCUUUUGGGAAGGUUUUUCAGGUGAAGAUGAAGGGGUAUGGUGGUGAGGGUGAUGGGAUAUUAGCAAUGAAAGUGAUGAGGAAGGACACGGUAAUCAAGAAUAAGCAUGUGGAUUAUAUGAGAGCUGAGAGGGAUAUUCUCACUAAAGUUGAGCACCCUUUUAUUGUUCAGCUUAGAUACUCAUUUCAGGUAAUAGUUGCUUAUACUGGACUUGGUAAAUUUGUCUAUUCAGUUUCAGAUUAAUGGGUAUAUUUAUCUUAAAUGUAUACAUAAAUAGUCUUACUAUCCUGCUAUUGUUACCACCUAUGUCUUCAUAAAUGUUGUGUUUUUGCUUUCUUUGAGCCGAGUGUCUAUCGGAAAUAGCCUCUCUACCUACACUCACCCUCCCCUGACCCCACUCGUGGGACUAUACUGGUUCUGUUGUUGUUACUUGUUUUUCUUCUUAAUGUACAAGAACAAGAUAAUCUUUUGUAUUAGGAAUUAUUUGGUUUUAAGUCCGAAGCUAAAUUUAGUACUAUGGUAUUUGUCCUUUCAUGUAAUUUUCUGUUACAGAAGUACUUAAAAGGUGAGAGCUUUUCCUUGCCUCUCUCUGUGGGGAAAAGCUUUUCAUAGAAAGAGGAAACUCUUUUGGGAAUCUGUUUGAAUUCUGGUGUCACUCAUUCCUUCUUUUUUGAGCGGGGACAACAUGAGCAAGUUUUGAACUUUAUUAGUACUAGGAAUACUAUUUAACAUCAUUAAUGCUAAUGAAAUUAAUUUCAAGUGGAACUUCUGUUCUUUUUGUCUAGAAUCUAGUCAGAUUGCUGAAUAUUUGAUAGGAUAUUUUAGUAGAUUUAUUUAGACAAUUUCAGAGAAGUUCAUUAACUUUUUCUGUUGCGAUUUUCUUUUUUUAGUUUCCAUUAUUCUUUGCCUUUGAUGCAGAAUUGUCUUUGUUUCGGAAACAAUCUUUCUGAAGAUUUUUUUGGACAAUAUUUGUUUUGAACUGGUAACUUUUGUAUUAUAGACCAGUACUUAGGUAGUACUGGAAAACCCAUUUACAAAUUAAAGUAUGAGAACAAAGAUGCUAAGAAAAUUCAACCCUAACAUGAGUCUAAAACUUUUAGGAUUGAUCUGCAUCUUCAUGGGAGCUCUUUGUACACCAAAAAGAAAAUAGCAAAACACUGUUUCUGUAAAGUGCUACUUCUAGCCUCAAAUAGAAUUCCUUUCUUUCCAGAUUGCGCACCAUAUGCAAGCUGGAAUGAUCCUACGGUAGCUUCUAAUCGUUACCCCAAUCAGCCUUCUCUACAGCUAGAAAGAGUGUCAACAAUCUUGCUAGGCAUUGUCCAAGAUGAUUUUUUUUUUUUUGACAAUUUCAAAGUGAAGUUAAUGAUUUUUUAGAACUUUUGUUGGUUUUUUCUAUUUAGUUCCCAUAUUUCUCGAUGUCUUUUUAAAGCACAGAUUUUGUCUUUCUUUGGUGUACUCAUUGUCAUUGAUUUUGCUACUGUGAUUUGAUUUUCGAAAUCAUAUGCCUUACAGUCUCAGACCAAGCUUUCUUGCCCUAUGAUGUGUUUUUUCUUAUUAACAAUAUCAUUCCUGGGUCAUUUAUUUUGGAAUAUGCUGCAGACGAAGUCUAAGCUGUAUUUGAUUUUGGAUUUUAUAAAUGGAGGACAUCUUUUCUAUCAUCUAUACAGACAAGGGAUUUUCAGGUACCUUUGCAUUUCUUAUUGACUAACCAGUCAUGAUAUGCAUUCUGCUCUUCUAACUUCAGCUCUUGGGUGUGCUUUGGGUAGUGAGGACCAGGCAAGGAUUUAUGCUGCUGAGAUAGUUUCUGCUGUUUCACAUCUUCACCAGAGAGGGAUCGUGCAUCGAGACCUCAAACCUGAAAAUAUUCUCAUGGAUGGUGAUGGACAUGUAAUAGUCUUGCUGUACUCUACUGCAGGAACAUGAUUGAUGCAUGGAAGAAGAAAAGAAAUAAGAAAUACGUAGCAUUUUUCCUUUGAACAUUGCAGUUGAUUCAUUCCUCUUCUUAAGCAUUUCAUUUUCCACCCAGGUCAUGCUGACAGAUUUUGGACUGGCAAAAGAGAUUGAUGAAUCAAGCAGAUCUAAUUCAAUGUGUGGAACCAUGGAAUACAUGGCUCCGGAGAUUAUACAGUCCAAGGGCCACAAUAAAGAUGCUGACUGGUGGAGUGUUGGGGUACUUCUGUAUGAGAUGCUGACUGGUCAGGUAAUCUAAGUACUGGUUGGAACAUUUGUUUGCAGUGUAAUUUUAGGACACUAGAAUCAUGCAGUGUUGAGUAAUGCCAAAGCAUGUGACAAAGCAUAGACAGUUCAACGGACAUUCUCUGGAGCCUAUUUUAUGUGAAAUGUCCUAUAAAUUGCAUUAUUCCUAGACAGAUUUUCCUUUGUAAAUUAGAACACUUUUGACUCUCAUUUCUUUCAGCCACCUUUCACCCAUGCAAAUAGAAAGAAGCUUCAGGAAAAGAUCAUCAGCGAGAAACUGAAACUUCUACCACGUCUGACUGGUGAAGCUCACUCUCUGCUCAAAGGAGUAUGUACAAACUAUCAAUUGACUGCUUGCCCAUACUUUCUUAGAUAAGUGAUUGUAAUUCAACUGAAUGAAAACUUGCAAUUUUUUCCCGUAGUUGCUACAGAAGGACCCAUCCAAAAGAUUAGGCAGUGGACCAAGAGGAGGGGAUGAGAUCAAAAGUCACAAGUGGUUCCGCACAAUCAAUUGGAAGAAACUUGAUGCCAGAGAACUACAGCCUAAGUUCAAACCAGAUGUAAUUGGCAGAGAUUGCACUGCCAAUUUCGACAAAUGUUGGACUACAAUGCCACCGGAUGACUCACCAGCAUCUACUCCGACAACAGGCGAACACUUUCAAGGUUACACUUAUGUAGCACCAAAUCCUUGGCUCUCCUCUAGUUGAUUUAAGUCUUUAUCUUGACAAAAUUUCGAACUCUUAGUUUGCUAUUGUAAGUCAUUCUUUGUUAGAGAGAGGAUCAUGAGAAAUGUAUGGAUCAGAUUGUAUCAUGGUAAAAGCAAAUCUUUCUAACUCUUUUUGUGUACUGCUGUAAGUUCAUUCUUCUCUAUGGACAAGAUGUGAAUCAAUCAAUUGACUUUGAUUGUGUAGCCCUUUUCUUUACCUGCUCUUCUAUGCUUCCUCUUAACCUCAUCUAUUCGAUGCUCUCUGGAAAUUAUAAAUUCUUUUAUUAUUUUGUACUGCAAGAGAAUCUAAGAAUGUGUUCACACUUUUCACUCAUGUGAUGAUUUAGUCCCUAUAUUUCAAAUUCAAAUCAGUAUUGAAAAUUAAUCAAAGUUGUUCAGUAUUCAAGAACUCUAAAUGAUUAAUGAGAAAUAGCUGAAAUAAAACCAUUACAAAUAUGUACACUGGGGAGCUGAAAAGAGAGGAUGUUCCAGGGCUUUGUUGCAUUCUAGAGAAUAGAAAAUGCUAAUGAGUUCUGCAUAUGGUUCAACAAUUUAAUAGAGGAGCAAAUUGAGGGUAGUGUUGGUGCAUUAGUGGAGUAUAUGAGUAGAUAUCCUUCAGGGGAAUGAAUUGGCUUUUGAUUUUUCUCCUUAUAUGUUUCCUUUGAUUGUGGAUGUCUGUGGGAGGGUCUGCCUGAUUGUUUUACAGGCUUGCACAAUCUUAUGCGGUAGUAGUUGAGAAAAGUAGAAGAAGGCGUAUUCUCAACUACUAGUUCUAGAAACUAUUGCGACAUCAAAUGAGUCAACUAGAAAAAUUGCAUUCAAUUUUGUGAUGAGUAAUGUAGUGCUCUUUUGAACUAUGUUAGGGCAUAACUCUAGUCAUUUUUAUUUAUAUGAAUGAAUAGAUGAGUGUCAUUCUAAUAAAUGGAAAUGUUAAAGUUGUCUAUAGUUAUUAGGUAGUAUGAAAUUUUGAAAGAUGGCUUUUUCUUUUAUUUCUUCUGCCUGAAUAUCAGAUACACUCUCUUUGUACCUUGUCCGUUACUGAUUCUGCUUACUAUUUCAGUAUGUGCAAAUUAUCAUCUUUCGCUAUUUAUAGCUCAAGAAAUGCUAUACAUCUCGCUUGUAUUUGACCAAGCUCCUCCAGCAUUUUGUUUUUGCUCUCUUUCCUCGAGUUAAUACCAACUAUAACAUGAAUAAAUAAACUGAUCAAACUUCUGUAUUAGACUUUGCAAGAGUUUUUUGUACUUCCAUGUGAAUUAUUUCCCUUGGAACCUGAGACUGUCAUUAAGUAGGUUUUUGAAAGGAAGAACUGAACACAUGCCAAAAUAAGCAUCCAUAGAUCUACCUUCCUAUACUAUGGUGUUUAUCUUGGAAAUGAACUGUUAACAGUUGAGGGAUGUGACGUUUUUUUCUGUUAACAACAGUGUAGAGUUAUCUCAAAUUGGUGAGAUGUUUAAUGGUAUCACUCCGGAAAGGGAUGAAAUAUGACAUGGUUAUUAAAAUAUGAACCAUAUAACCAUGUGGAGCAAAAGUUUUGUCGUUAUAUAAGUUCGAUCUGCUCCUUUCCAAAAUAUGCUGGCUUCAGUGUACUUCUAUAAGGCACACUUGUGAACUGUCAUUUGAAUGGUUUCAGUACAUAUCCAUUAUCUAGAUAUUGUGGAAAAAGUUGCAUAAAGGUUGGAAUCAGUGGAAGAGCACUGGUGAGUGGUGACUACUUAAUGAAACUUAAAUAAAUUAUAGCUUCAUAUGGUAUAUGGAAAGUAGAAAGGCAUCUCAUUCCAGUUACUUUUAAGUGGAUAAGUUAGUUUGUGCUCAUUAACAACCACCUGGUUUGUUGUGUGUGCGUGGGGGGGAGGGGGGGUGNNNNNNNNNNNNNNNNNNNNNNNNNNNNNNNNNNNNNNNNNNNNNNNNNNNNNNNNNNNNNNNNNNNNNNNNNNNNNNNNNNNNNNNNNNNNNNNNNNNNNNNNNNNNNNNNNNNNNNNNNNNNNNNNNNNNNNNNNNNNNNNNNNNNNNNNNNNNNNNNNNNNNNNNNNNNNNNNNNNNNNNNNNNNNNNNNNNNNNNNNNNNNNNNNNNNNNNNNNNNNNNNNNNNNNNNNNNNNNNNNNNNNNNNNNNNNNNNNNNNNNNNNNNNNNNNNNNNNNNNNNNNNNNNNNNNNNNNNNNNNNNNNNNNNNNNNNNNNNNNNNNNNNNNNNNNNNNNNNNNNNNNNNNNNNNNNNNNNNNNNNNNNNNNNNNNNNNNNNNNNNNNNNNNNNNNNNNNNNNNNNNNNNNNNNNNNNNNNNNNNNNNNNNNNNNNNNNNNNNNNNNNNNNNNNNNNNNNNNNNNNNNNNNNNNNNNNNNNNNNNNNNNNNNNNNNNNNNNNNNNNNNNNNNNNNNNNNNNNNNNNNNNNNNNNNNNNNNNNNNNNNNNNNNNNNNNNNNNNNNNNNNNNNNNNNNNNNNNNNNNNNNNNNNNNNNNNNNNNNNNNNNNNNNNNNNNNNNNNNNNNNNNNNNNNNNNNNNNNNNNNNNNNNNNNNNNNNNNNNNNNNNNNNNNNNNNNNNNNNNNNNNNNNNNNNNNNNNNNNNNNNNNNNNNNNNNNNNNNNNNNNNNNNNNNNNNNNNNNNNNNNNNNNNNNNNNNNNNNNNNNNNNNNNNNNNNNNNNNNNNNNNNNNNNNNNNNNNNNNNNNNNNNNNNNNNNNNNNNNNNNNNNNNNNNNNNNNNNNNNNNNNNNNNNNNNNNNNNNNNNNNNNNNNNNNNNNNNNNNNNNNNNNNNNNNNNNNNNNNNNNNNNNNNNNNNNNNNNNNNNNNNNNNNNNNNNNNNNNNNNNNNNNNNNNNNNNNNNNNNNNNNNNNNNNNNNNNNNNNNNNNNNNNNNNNNNNNNNNNNNNNNNNNNNNNNNNNNNNNNNNNNNNNNNNNNNNNNNNNNNNNNNNNNNNNNNNNNNNNNNNNNNNNNNNNNNNNNNNNNNNNNNNNNNNNNNNNNNNNNNNNNNNNNNNNNNNNNNNNNNNNNNNNNNNNNNNNNNNNNNNNNNNNNNNNNNNNNNNNNNNNNNNNNNNNNNNNNNNNNNNNNNNNNNNNNNNNNNNNNNNNNNNNNNNNNNNNNNNNNNNNNNNNNNNNNNNNNNNNNNNNNNNNNNNNNNNNNNNNNNNNNNNNNNNNNNNNNNNNNNNNNNNNNNNNNNNNNNNNNNNNNNNNNNNNNNNNNNNNNNNNNNNNNNNNNNUUAAUCACGUGGAUAGCUUAUAUGAUCAUCAGAUAUUGUUUCUUUAAGGGUUAGCUCUUGUCACUGUGUCUCAAAAGUCUAUUAUUGCUUAUAGAUACCAGAUAGGCAAGCAGCAUAUAUUCCUUUUAUUCUUCUGAGUUCCAUUUGGACACAUAGAAAAUAGAGAAAACAUCUUAUUGCAUGAAUGGGAAAAGGAUUUAGCACUAAUAAAGUUACUGUUAGGAUGGAUGAAACUUAAGGGAGAUUCCUGUCUUUUUUUUUAACAACACAAAUGAGUAAUCAGCUGAGGUUAUACUCUACUACCCUACAAUGCUUUAGAAGCAAGUUUCUUUAGCUUUAUACUUAUAUAUAUAUAUAUAUAUAUCCAUCGUCGUUGGCUUGUCAUAUAUGUAAUCACCUUCUCUGUUCUUGAAAGUAUUUUGGCAGUUAAGAAUUUGUAGCAUUUGCCAUGAAGAACAAAAGCAGAAGCAACAACUCCCUCUGUGAGAAGUCAAUGAAGAUGGUAACAAAUGUCAUCCGGCUAUCGUCAUUCUCUAUUGCCAGGAUGAGCCUUGGAAUCGCAACAGAACCAGCACCAGGCGGUAAAAUUCCUGCAUCAUACCCUGCAACAUUCAUCAAAGGCUCACCAACAGCACAAUUCCCUGAGAGCUUAAGGUCACAGGAGCCAGUGAACGUCAAAAAACCGACUGCCUACCUUAUUGAGCCAACUGAAAAUGGUAAAUCCUCCUUGUAUGCAGUUAAUGAUAAGAGUGUAGAUGGUAGGGCCUCUGAUUACAUUAGAAGAGUGCAUGAGAAGAAUCGUCAUGAUUCAAACGAGGCAAUGAAACUUUCUGCAUUCAUCAUUCCACCUCCACCUCGUUUCGUGUAGUCAUAUUUUGUACUACUAACCAUGUGUUUAUUUCCAUCUUCUACUAUUUCGCGUAGCAUAAUUGUCUUCAUCUAUCUUGGAUAAUAUGCUUUGCUUCUCUUGAGAACAAGCUUAUGAUUAGUGCCAUAGUGAUGAAAAAUCUUCUCCUUCUGUCACUUUGGGCUUUGUCUACUGAAGGCUUUUGUUCAUAAGAAGCUUGCAUCUUGAUAUUGAUCUUCUGUCUGUCAUAUAAUCAAUUAAAUCAAAUUAGUUGGAGUUUGUUAUAUGAAUCAUAUCCAUUUUAUUCAAGCAUAUCUCAUUCUGAUAUUAAACAAGUUGUCUUUUAGGUGAAUUAAGGUUUCUCCAAAACUAUAAAUUUCUAUUUUCCUGCACUUAUUUUGUUAUUUACAUACUAUAAGUUUCUACAUGGAAUAUUAAGACUCCAAAAAGUUGGUUUUGCUUAUAUAGAUCCUACUGUGUUAUGUUUUUAGCUAUGUUAUUCUUGCACUUAUGACAUGGAGGUCUAUGUAGAAUAUGACCAAACCAGGAUAUAACAGUGUAGUAUCAAUUAAGAUGGGGUCGGUUCUUGAUUAACAUCCUUUAGACUCUAUCGUAUGUGACCUUAUCUUAGUUUUCCUCUAUGUGUGCUAUUUGCAACGCCUGUCAUAUAUAACCAAUAUCUUUAAUAUUACGCGUUCAUCUUCAACUUGUUGGGACUUAAAGACCUAUUUCCAAAAAUGUUUUUGCUCUCUUAACAAUCACUUUUUUAGGUAUCUUUCUAACGUAUAACUUAGAUAUUUGUAUUGUAUGCAGUUCACCAAAAUCCUGUAAAUUCUUGUGGGAUGAUGUGUUCUUACUUUUAUUUAGUCGGUAACUAUUCCUUCGUAUUUAAUCCGAGAUGGAAAAUAAUAUUAUCUUUUAUAAAAAGCACAUUACCCAAGUAAAUAAAAGUUUCCUUAGAGGGAAUAAAUGCAUAUAUGUGGUCAAGUGGCAAGAGAAUAUUGUUGAAGAAAAAAUGGGAAUAUCUUUCUUUCACUCUACAAAUCCUCACCUUAUCUGUUGGUCUCAAAUAGAGAACCUUAUUUAUUGCGUGUAAACGUGACGAUCUGUAAUUCACCCUUGCCAAUAUUUAAAUGCAUUUCCAUAACAAAGCAUUUUUUUUUAAUAAUGAUGGUAUCCGAGUUAACUUGUACUCAUGACAUAUGAUUUUUCUAUUAGUGUAAAUAUUGAAUAACUAUAUGCUUCAAAUUUUAAAUAAAUAAAAAUCAAUCACCUGAUUUUAUUUUUUUUAUUUUUUAGUUUUGUGUGUAAUUUGAAUUUCUGAUCUAAUAUGAUCACCAUUUCCAGCUUCAUUGACCACAAAUGCACAAAGAAAACACAUAUUUGAGUGCGGGGACCAAUAAUACUGGAACCACUACUCAAAAGAUUUAUUUGUUUGCUUGUUUAUUUAUCGUUACCAAAAUAUUUCAACUUUGACCUAUUUUUAUUUUUAUUUUCAUUAUCAACGAUCAAUAAUUGAUGACACUCAUAAGCAGCAUUGCCAACUUAAUAGUACUGGUGUUUCAACUCAUUUGACAAUAAGUACAAAAAAGGUUCUAUCGUGUCUACUCUUCUUUUAGGAGUGUAUUCGAUCAAUUAUUUUAGAAAAAUGUAUAUCAAAUUGGUUUUUAAAUUACUCUAUCAUGUCUAAUCAAAAUUAAUCCCUCCGUUUAAAAAAGAAUGACCUCUUUUCUUUUUUGGUAACAUUUUAAUUUCAGUUUUUCACCUGGCAUGUUUAAGGCUAUACAUAAAAAGGGCAAUUUUAUACAUUUGACAUAAUUUUAAUUUAGGACCACAAGAUUCAGAAAUCUUCUUUACUUUCUUAAACUCCAUGUCAAAUCAAACUGGACCAUUCUUUUUAAAACGGAUGGAGUAAUUUUUUUUGAAAACGUGUCAAUCUAUAAUAUCGUUAAAAAUUAUGUAAUGACCUGUCCCAUAAGGAUCGAUUUCCAUCCCCGUUUUAGGCAAAACUAUUGGCAGCCCUAGAAUACAGUAGGAAUCAAGAAAAUCAUAUAAUUGUUGCCUAACACAUGCACGACACUCUAACCCAAUCAGGAUUUUGGAUAACGUUAUCACAUGGCCAGUUCAUACAACCACAUACAUAUAUCUAUAGCCUAUAGGACCACGAACAUACAUAUAUCUAUAGCCUAUAGGACCACGAGAAAAAAUCAUUUUGGCCAGAAAAUUUUGAGCAUAUUUACACUAUAAACAGGUUUACUUUUUGAUAUUUUUAUUCUUAUUUAAAUUUAAAUUUAAAUUUAUUAAUUAUUUUUUAAUACAUGAAAAGUUUCCCAAUACAUGGGGAAUAAACUUGUUCCCGGAUUCUCAUAAUUUCCAUAAAUACAUGUUAAUUUCAAUUUCUUUUAAAAAGGCAACAAAAUGAUUGCCUUAGUAAUUUCUUUUCUUCCCUCUACUUUCCAAUAUAAAUUAUAAAGAACACAAAUUUAAAAUUUACAAUUAAGAAAUAAAAUUUAAAAUUUAAAUGGCAAGAUAAACACUAAUAAUAUUAAAUUUAAAAUAAAUUUAUCUCACACUCAAUUCAAAUUCAAGAUUCAUAAAAUAACUUAACAAGUAAAAUUAUUAAUCAAAAGUGUCAUAUAUACUGGCCAUUUAUAUACUACUACUACUACUACUAAUAAUAAUAAUAAAUUAUAUUUCUCAACUUUGUGAUUUAGAGAUAAUAUAUUUUUUGUUAAAAGAAAGUGGCUCACAUCUAUUUCAAUUGUUACAUAUAUAUUACCAAAAAAAAAAAAUUAUUACAUAUAUAACUUUGAUAUAGCUAAAAUCUUUUUUAGCUGACGGAAGUGAAAAAAUUGAUUCAAAAUUAUUUCUGAUAAAAUAAAAAUUACACAAGGUAUGUUUGACCCUUCUCGCAAUAUUUUGAGGUAUGUUUGAAGAGCUAAGAUCAUUUUUGGCUGACGGGAGUGAAAAACUUAUUAAAUUUUUUUAACAAAAUAAAAAUACAAAAGGUAUAUUUGACCCUUCUCGCAAUAUUUCGAGGUAUAUUUGAUCAUCUUCGUACAUGAAUUUUUAUCCUUUUUUUUUAUCUUCUUUAAUUCAAUGACUAAUUUUGAUUUACUAUGUUGAUGAUCAAAUUUAAUUUUUCACUCAUCUUAUUGCAAAGUCUAUUAUAGAUGCAUCAACAUUUUUUACAACUAAAAAAUAAAAUUCAAUAUAACCGCAAAAAAAUUAAUUUUAGUUUGCUUUUUUUAAAAAAAAAAUCAUUUUAUUUUCGUUCACUAUUUCUUUUUAUUUCUCAUGUUUUCCACACUAAAGAAUGAAAGCGAAAAAUUAAAUAGGAACAACAAACUCAAAUAAUGAUAAACAAAUAUAUUCAUGAGGGAGAUAAUUAAGACACAAAUUAACCGUUGAAUUAAAAAAACUCAAAAAUAAAAUCACGUGAAAAAACUAUCCGAUUUACCUCUAUAUGAAUAAUGUUUGAUUAAAUAACUAAAAUAAAUAAAUUAAAAAUCCAAAUUUUAACUUUCGUUAGUCAAAAGUGGAUAUAUGAGUUAUUUAAUUUGCACAUGUAACAGUAAAAGUAUAUGUGACAUUUUUUUUUACGAAAUAUAUAUUAUAUCUAUAUCACAGAAUUAAGAAGUACAUCAAAUCUUUUUCUCCUAAUAAUAAUUCAACAUAAUCUGCACAAUAUUAUUAUUAUGAAGAUCAAACAAACAAUGUGGUAUAGUAAUGAAGUCUAAAAAAUAGUUUGAACCUUAUUUGAUUAUUCUAUAUCAAUGUUAGUAUUAUAUUAAAAAGAGAGUAGUCAAUCUUGAUAUUAAGACAAUUAUAUUAUAAGAACUGACUUUCGUAAUUCAAGACAUCACUACAAAAAAUGCAUUAUUAUUAAUAGUUAUUUAAAAUAUCUAAGUCCCAAAAUUAUAUUAUUAUUUUUCUGAAAGAAAAACACACACGAUGUAUGAACGAUUAAUUAAUUAAUGAAGAACCGUAUUAAUCAUUAUCAUUCAAUUGUAAAUUUCAAAAUCCACAUUUAAUUUACUAAAGUAUAUUGUAUAUUGCUGAGAAUUUCCGAGAAUAACGUGUUAAUGUUAAUUAUAGUAUUGAACCAACACCAUAUUACGUCAAUUUGAUAACUUAUAGAUCAUUACUCAUAUUUGUUAUUAAUAUAUUAAUAUAACGUAUUAAAGAUAUCUAUAUUCAUUGUGAUUUUCAAUGGAAAACUACUUUCCCUUUACUUAAUGAUACUAGCAGGGGUUUUGUUUGAUGUUAUAAAUAAGAGUAGCAUUAAAUAGGUACCACAAAGCAUGACAUAUUUCUGGUCUGUACAAAUCAGGACCAAAAGUGUAGUCAAUUAAUCACCACAUGGAUAUCAUAAACUUUUCCUCAAUAUAUAAGAUUAAUAUAAUUAUGAACCCAGCUUACUCACUCUUGUCCUAGUUUUUUCUUCUUCUUUUUUUCUCAAGAGAUCCUUUGAUCUCAUGCCACACGGAUGAUGCUUUCUCCAUUACUGAAACUUGACAUCACGUUAUAUGCCGAGUGUCUAGUAGAUGAUGCUUGUCCCUGAUCAAGUGACAAUGAUAAUCUCAGUGACAAAGACGAUGGCUCAAUUGUUGAGUUGUGGUUGGCGUUAAGGUCAAUUGCUGUUGAUGGAUUAGGCAUUGAAAACAUAGGAACAGGACCAACUAGCAUCGGUGAAUUCCCAUGAUCAUGUCGCAACAGAGUUGGAUACUCUCUUGACUUGUCAAUCUGUACUGGAAAUAUGAUAGGACCAACAGUUGGUGCCACCGGAAAUGCAUUGGUUUUGGUAGUUGGUAAUGUUGCUGGUGCUACAACUGGGAUUUCUUGCUUAUUUUCCACCUCUUCUAUUGGCAUUACUGAUACCUGUUUGUCAAAGAAAGAGAACCUUAGAAAUGGAUAUCCAUCCAAGUGGCAAAGAUUUCAGUUUGUAUUCAAUAUUUUUAUCUUUUCCACAAGGCAAGUAUAAACAAAGAACUUGACACCAAUGAAAAAGAAUCUUUUAGAGAAAAGACACAAAAGAAUAACAACAAAACCCAGCACCAAUAUCAAUUCAAAACAAGAAAAACGAACGAAUCAAAUUACAACUCCUUCUGUUAAAGAGUGAUAAGAUCGAAGUACUAAAAUCAAGCCAUCUAAUUUUCUAUCUCUAUACACAAUCACUUACCACCUACUCAAAUGAACUUCACUAAUACAUGGCAAAAUGAGAGAAAAUAUAAUCAUAGUAAUUAAAAGUUGCUCGAGUAAUAAUAAGGGUGAGAAACAAGUUUGAUAAAUGGAAGACGUGAAGAAAAAAUAAAUACCGAGUCAGUGGUGAUAUCAAAGAGGCUAGAUCGACGGCGGCGACGGUUGAGGUUGCUUCGCCGGAGGAAGUAUUUCUGAGCAUGACUUGCAACCUGAGUCGGUGUGCGAGUCUUUACGAAGUUACGAGAGAUUCCUCUCCAGUCUCCUUUUCCCACUUUCUGCAAUCCUAAAAGGAAUAACUUAUGCUCUUCCUCUGUCCACGGAACUCCUAAUACAAACAAAAUCAACGCUACUUCAUCAGAAAUCAAUUUCUAUGGAUUCAAAGCUUAGCAGGUUGGAUCAAAACCAUAUUUAUGGUCCUGAAAUCUAGACAGAGGGAAAACGAGUUCCCUUUUACAGAAUCUAAUCUUUUUUUAGGAAUUCGAUCAUCAUUUAUGAAACUAAUUUCAAACAAUUACAUAUAAAUCACAUGAUUAAACUAUGAAUUUGACUCUGUACAAAACAAAUUAGGAUAGAAGAGUAUAACUCAAAAAUUUGUGCAUAACAGAGAAAACGAUCGAUGAAUCUAAUAGAAACUUGACUCAGAGGAGACAUUAAUUGACUAAUCACUGACAGAAAUAACCGAAUCGAAUGUAAAAUGAAGACUAUCAUAAAAACACGGCGAAUAGCAACAAAAAUAGAAGAGGAUCGGAGAUCUCACCUCUCUUACGCUCGCGACCACUGUUGGACUGAUGUUGAACAGCGUCAUCUGCAGAGGCAUAACCUUCAUCCUGAGCCACUUUAGAGGAUUCAUUGUUAUCACCGCCGUUGUUGUUGUUGUUAGCAUUCGGUUGCUCGUACUGUGAAAGAUCGUUUAGACUCACGCUCUUCCUCAUAGGAUCCACUUUUACUCUCACACCAAACAACAUGAUUUCUCCUCCAAAACCGCCGCCGGUAACUGCCGGCGUCGACGACGACUUAUCGCUGUAAACGCUCGACAUCGUUCUGGAAGUUUCCACGAAUCAAUAAAAAAUCAAUUGAUACAAAGUGGUGAUGACUAAACAUACACUCCGUCAAACGGAAACCGUACACACCUAUUGAAAUUGAAAUUGAAAGGAAGAAAGAAGCGAAUAAAGCGGAACGGAGAGUGUAUAGAGAUGUGGAAAUAUAUAGAGGGGGUGAGAUGGUGAUAAGGACCACAUGAUGAUAAUAAUAAUAAUAAUUAAAAAAUAAUAAUAUUUGUAUCGUAUUGUAUCCUACUCUAUUGUCUCAAUGAAAAUAUUAUUUAGAUAGAUUAUAUCGUCAUGUGAUAAACCUAUCAAAAAAGUAAGAUAUGAGUAGAGCUACUGUGAAAAAGUAGAAUAAAAGAUGAAAUAUGAUUAUUAAAUAAUAUAUAAAUACAAAAAUGAAAAAAUAAAUAUUAAGAUAACGAUGUUAAGUAACAACCAAAACAAAUAAAGUAUUGUAUUUAAACUAACGACACAAUAUAAUGUAGAAAAAUGACGAAUAUAUCCCGAACUAUCGUAAAUGGUAUGCAUAUAUCCUCCGUCAUAAUUUUGGGAUAUUGAUGCCCCUGCCAUCCAAAAAAUAGAGUGUAUAUGUCCUUCACUCUAACGGAAGACUAAAUAGGGACACAUGGCGCAAUCUUAUCCGUCGAUCCAAUAUUUAAUAAAUGUUGAUUGAUAGAUAAGAUUAUGACACGUGUAUGUCCGUUAGUAUAAAGGGUAUAUAUGAUCUAGUUUUUGGACGACAUGGAUACCAAUGUCCCAAAAAUAUGAUGAAUGAUAUCUGCAUACCAUUUACGAUAAUUCGGGAUAUAUUUAUCAUAUUUCCCUAUAUAAUGUAAUACAACGGAUAACAUUCUCCCCCAUUAAUAAGUAUUGAAAGUUGAGAGUAACACGUGGCAAUAAUUUAACGGUUUAUCCGAAUCUUCGGUGGAGCUGAGUCUGAUUUUUACGGGAAGUUUCAACCAACUCAUAUAGAAUAGAGGGGCAUACCAUUUUUUAUGUGGAUGGGCCUAUCCACUUACUCAAUUUCCAUUUAUUUUUUUUUAUAUUCAAUGUUGAUAUUAGGGGUGUACAAACCGAACCAUAAAGUCAAACCGAACCGAUGAACCAAGUCAAACCGAGAAAAAAAACCGACUUAUGGUUUGGUUUGAUUGGUUUGGCGUUGAAAAAAAAAAACCGACCAUUCUUGGUUUGGUUUGGUAUUAAUAAAAAAAAAGUCAAACCGAAUCCAACCCAAACCGACAUAAUACAUAUAUAAUUUUAACUUUUUAUACAUAAAAAUAUUUAUAUAAUCUAUUUUAUAAAUAUUUUAAAUUUAGUUUUAUUAAUUUUCAAUAUGUACAAAUUAGAUAUAUAUUCAGAUUUGAGCUUAUAACUUGUAAUUGGUGAAAUGAUCCAUCAAUUGGUGAAAUGAUCCAAGCCCAAUAUAAACCUAAAAGUUAAAACUCUAGAAACUAGUCAUAUUCUCAUUUCUCACUAUCCACUUUGCAAUCUUUCCACUUUCCCUAGAGCUGCUCAAUCUUCAUCUGCUCAUUCUUCUCAUUCAUCUGCUUGUCUAUAGAUAGUCAGGUAUGUUUUUCUUUUUCUUUUUCUUGCAAAUGUAAAUUUAUCAAUGAAGUUCGUCACUUACUUUUUCUUGCAAAUGAGUAACUUUAUUUUGAAUCGUUGUUGGCUGCUGCUACAAGUCUUAAUUUUUUGUGUUUUGCUUCCUUAGAUGGAGAAUACGGCUGGAACUGAUGUAGAAAUGAUAAUCGACAGUCCUCCGGUUGUAUCAAUACCUCAAAAGAAAGGUAAAAGCACUCCUCAUCUCCGCACUCCUCCUAAAAAGCAAAAAAGAACAACCCCAAUAGAUUCCAUUCCUACAGAUGGUAAUACUGGGAGAGAAACGUCACAAAUUUGGGAUCACUUUGCUAAAUUUAUUGCUAAAGGAGGUAAACGAAGAGCAAAAUGUAACUAUUGUGUAAAACACUUUGCUGCUGAGACAAAAACAAAUGGAACCUCUGUAUUGUGGUCACAUUUAAAUGACAAAUGUCUCAAAUCUCCCUUUAGAUUUGUUGAUAGAAGGCAAACAACUUUGAAAGCUGUACCAAUCAAAGUAGGGGGACAAGAAAAUGGAACAAGUUCUAUAGAAAAGGUUGUGUACAAUGUGGAGGAUAUCAGGAGGGCCAUCGCUGAAUUUGUCAUUAUUGAUGAACAACCAUUUAAAGUUGUUGAAGGGGAAGGUUUUAAAAAAUUGAUGGCCAAAGCUUUGCCUAAUUUUGAAUUACCUUCACGGGUAACUGUGGCUAGACAUUGUUUGAAGAUCUAUCAAGAAGAGAAAGAGAAGCUUAAAAAACUUGUCAAGAAUCAACACAUAUGUAUUACUAGUGAUACAUGGACAUCACUUCAAAAUUUGACUUAUAUGGUCGUGACUGCUCAUUGGAUUGAUGAUGAAUGGAACUUACAGAAAAAGAUUCUUAAUUUUUUCCAAACUCCGGAUCACAAGGGUGAGACUAUGACACUAACAUGAUGGGUGAAGUUGAUGAUAUAUUGCAUUCUCAAUGGGAGAAACAUUUAGAAGAUGAGGAAAACAUUGGAAAAAAAUCUGAGCUUGAUCAAUAUUUGAUGGAUAAUGUAGAGAAGCCAAAAGAUUUUAAUAUCUUGACUUGGUGGAAAGCUUCAUCGAAUAGAUAUCCAACUAUUUCAAAAAUGGCAAGGGAUGUUCUUUCUAUUCCCGUGUCCACUGUUGCAUCUGAAUCAGCCUUCAGUACAGGUGGUCGUAUUCUUGAUUCAUAUCGGAGCUCUUUAUCACCAAAGACAGUAGAAGCUCUUAUUUGCACUCAACAAUGGAUACGGUCACCUUCUAAAGAAUGGAAGGUUCAAAGAUUAUUUGGACGAAGUUCAAAAAAUUGAAGAAGUUGAAAAAGGUAAUUUACUAAUUUAAUUCUUAAUUCUCCAUCUUUGAUAUUAAUUUUCUACUUUGAAAACAACUUUAUGCUAGUUGCUAUCUAACAAAGUUGAGUUGACAAAUGACUCAAUAUCUAAUUACUCAUUUAUGUGCUAAUAAUUCUUUUCCUUACAGAAUGUCCAGGUGCUCCUUUGAGUAUCGAUUAGUUUAAUGAAGUAGCUUUUUGCAAAUCUUUUGAUAUAUAGGUAUUUCCUUUCCCUUUAUUGAAAUAGCGUUUUACAGUUCUUUAUUAUCUAACAAAGUUAAUUUUACAAGUCUAGUUACUCGUUCACGUGCUGAUAAUUUUCUUUCUUUCAGAAUGUAUGUCUAGGUGACCUUUUGAGUAUAUAUUAGUUUGGAUGAAGAAAAUAUGCAGCUGGAUCUUGGUAGUUGAAGAUUAUUGGAGUAGUUUUGCAAUUCUUUUGUUGGGUUUUUAAGAGAAUAUUUUACAAACAUUAUGUGAAGUUCUGUGUUUUUAAUUUUCAAUGUUAAAUAGACUUAUUUUUUAUAAGAUAUUUGCUCUUGUUGAUCAUGUGAGGAUCUUGAUAAUCAAAAUUUGUAGAAAUCAGAUUGAAAUGAAAUGGUUAUUGAGCAGUUGUCAGGUGGCGUUUCUCUUCGUAUCUUCUUCUAUCUCGAUGUGUUGUCUUCUGAUGUUAUAAAAUCCUCAUUCUCUAGUUGUUUGCUUUAGUUUUCUGUUAGGUUGAUGAUGUCUUAGCGUGAUGGGUAUUGUAACACAUAUCUGUCAAACAAAUAUGUAAGCAAUUCUUGUAGAAUAAAGGCAAUUCUUGUAGAUAAGUGUAAGCAAAUAUGUAAUCAAAGAGUUUAAGUAAUUAUGUAAUUAUGUAAUCAAAGAGUUGAUUACAUAUUUGAGUUGACCUAUUUGGUGAGGAAACUGAAGAGGAAAAGAAGGCUGCUGAAGAACGUGCUGCAGCAUUGAAGGCUUCAGGGAAGAAGAAAGAAUCUGGUUUGACAGAUGUGUGUUACAGAUGAAAUGAUUUUGUUUGACAAUAUUUGCUUGGUCUGUGUUGAAUUGGCCAGAAAGCAAAUAGUUGUCCAAAUGUAGAAUAAAGGCAAUUCUUGUACUAAAAACACCUCUAGCUUGUACAAAAUGAAGAUGGAUAGAUGAAUAUUGGCUUCUCCUAUUGUAAAACCUAAACACUCUUUAAAAAAACCGAUAAAACCGAAAGAACCGAAUAAAACCGAAAGAACCGAAUAAAACCGAAAGAACCGAAUAAAACCGAAAGAACCGAAUAAAACCGAAAGAACCGAAUAAAACCGAAAGAACCGAAUAAAACCGAAAGAACCGAAUAAAACCGAAAGAACCGAAUAAAACCGAAAGAACCGAAUAAAACCGAAAGAACCGAAUAAAACCGAAAGAACCGAAUAAAACCGAAAGAACCGAAUAAAACCGAAAGAACCGAAUAAAACCGAAAGAACCGAAUAAAACCGAAAGAACCGAAUAAAACCGAAAGAACCGAAUAAAACCGAAAGAACCGAAUAAAACCGAAAGAACCGAAUAAAACCGAAAGAACCGAAUAAAACCGAAAGAACCGAAUAAAACCGAAAGAACCGAAUAAAACCGAAAGAACCGAAUAAAACCGAAAGAACCGAAUAAAACCGAAAGAACCGAAUAAAACCGAAAGAACCGAAUAAAACCGAAAGAACCGAAUAAAACCGAAAGAACCGAAUAAAACCGAAAGAACCGAAUAAAACCGAAAGAACCGAAUAAAACCGAAAGAACCGAAUAAAACCGAAAGAACCGAAUAAAACCGAAAGAACCGAAUAAAACCGAAAGAACCGAAUAAAACCGAAAGAACCGAAUAAAACCGAAAGAACCGAAUAAAACCGAAAGAACCGAAUAAAACCGAAAGAACCGAAUAAAACCGAAAGAACCGAAUAAAACCGAAAGAACCGAAUAAAACCGAAAGAACCGAAUAAAACCGAAAGAACCGAAUAAAACCGAAAGAACCGAAUAAAACCGAAAGAACCGAAUAAAACCGAAAGAACCGAAUAAAACCGAAAGAACCGAAUAAAACCGAAAGAACCGAAUAAAACCGAAAGAACCGAAUAAAACCGAAAGAACCGAAUAAAACCGAAACCGAAAAAACCGAUUUAUAUUGGUUUGAUUUGGUUUAUAAACUUAAUAAACCGACAUAAUUGGUUUGGUUUUUUUUUGAUAAAAAACCAAACCAACCCGACCUAUGUACACCCCUAGUUGAUAUCUCCACUAUAUCUACUUUUUUUUCAUCUUAAAAUUAUUCUUAAAAAUAUAUACUUUUAUGAACUUUGUCAAAUAAGUAGAACUCGAUUUACGUAAAAUAUUAAUAAUGUCAUUAAAUAUUUAUUAAUAAAAUUAACUAAAAAGAAAAAUAUGACAUAUAAAUAUGAAAAAAGAAAGUAACAUUUUUAAUUUCUUCUUAUUGAGCUCUCACGACAUAAGUGAAUAAUAUUCUAGUGGUACUCUUUUUUUCGAAACUAAUUUCACGAGAUAUUUAUCACUUUUUACCAGUAAUAAGUAUCAAAUAACUCUAUUCACCAAAACUAAAAUAGAUGAGAAGAAAUCAGAUAGUAGUAUUUUUGUUUGUACUAAAAAAUUUGAACUUAGAACAUCAUAAUUCAUAGUUCCUCCUAAUUUGAUUGAAGUAUAUACUCCUUGUGUCUCAUACUAGUUAAUCAUCUUACUAAAAAUAGUUAUCUCAUAUUAGUUGAUCAUCUUACUAAAUCAAGAAAAUAUUAAUUAAAAUUUUCAUAUUAUACCCUUGCAAUUAAAUUUUUUUGAAAGUGUAUUUAUAUUUGUAAAAUUCCCGAGAAGUUUUUUAAGGAGUGAAUUAGUAAAAUUAUCUUCUUAUUUUAUGAUUUCUUAAUAUAUAUGUAAAAAGGAAAAAUGAUCAACUAGUAUGGAACGAAAGGCAUACAUUUUAUUUCUAAAAAACUUGGAAAUUUAAGUAUUGUAUUCAGGGGCGGAGCCAGCAUACGAACCUCCUUUGGCAGAAAAUAUUACUAUUUAUACAUUAAAAUUUUGUUAUGUAUAUAUAUCUAUUAGUAGAUGUCGAAAUCCUCUUUGAUUAGUUUAUGUAUUUACUUCUUCAAAUUUUGAACACCCUUAUUAAUAAUCCUAACUUCACCACUGACCGUAUUAAUACUGAAAUCUAAGUAAUUUAAUUUGCAUAUUUAGCUAAGAUAAUUGAAGUGAUCAAGUUUUGACUUUGUGGGCACUUGUCUUGUCGGACUUUUGUUUUGGGAAAGAGAUUACUCCUAAUUAACAUCAUUUUUUAUUUGUCAGACACGUAUUUGUUUGGACGCAAAUUGCAAUAACCAGCACGAGAAAAUAAUGAAUUCUAAGCAUAAAAUUUUAUUUACCGAUUCAAAAUUUAAAUUUUUUAUAUAAAUAAAAAAAUUAUACUCUAAUUAUUUGAAAAAUAUAUUUAAAUAAUUCAUCCUUUAUUUGCGAUUCAAAAGAUUGAAGCUCACUUUAAUAUUGACUCUCGAUAAACGAACAAGUAAAAACUAUCAGAAGACAUAGAAACUAAUUUCAUUAAGUUUUCUGAUUAGUCGGUGAAUGGAAUUAGUUUUAAAAUGGUCAAAGAAGCAAGUUAAUUAAAAAGGCCCACCUACCAUUACCAAGAGAUAACAUUAUUUUUUUCUGAAGAUAAAAAUUGACUUUAAUUAAGAUAAUAAUAAUAAUAAUUAGUACUAAUUAAUUAAACUUGGAUCAAUACUAACGUGAUUUGGUUCCAUCAUGCACAAGAACCAAUGUUGUACUAUGAACUUAAAAUAAUCAAAAUUAUUGGCACAAGUGGAUGGUAAAAUUAAAUAAAAAAUAAAAGAAUCACGUGAAAAAAGGAAAUGCUUAGUGAUUGAUUAACUGACAAACUUGUCUAAUUAAACUUAUUUAAUUAAGUUGAGUAGCAUUAGUUAGGUACUUAAUUGAAAUCUUUACAACACAACUAUGGAUGGUUAGCUGUGUUUCUUUCUCAAUUAUUUGACUAGAGAUAAUAAUGUUUAUUAUCUUGCUAGGGCCUCACUAAUUAAUUACUUAUGAAUUAAUCUGUAAUGCAAAGUACCUUUCAAUCCUAUAUGGAUACCUAAUACCCGCAAACUAUUGAAAUUUGGAUAGGAGUGAAUUUAUCCACCGCACAUUAUAUCAAAUGUUUUUCUUUUUCUGGCUUAGUUGGUAACUUGGUAUAUGAAUAAAUUUCGAAGAUUUUACUAUUAAGAGAUAAAGUGAAAUUGACGUGAUCAUUUUAUUCUUAAUCAGAUCUGAGAUAAAUGCGUAGAUAGCCACUUGGAAUAUCACUAUUCAAGAUAUAUCCAAAAAUAAAAUUAAAAAAAUGUUAUUUAGUCAUUUUUUAAUCAAUUUCAGAUUGAUCGAAUUAAAGUUGAAAAUCUAGGUAUGAAAUUAUAUAUUAUGCUAAAAUUCUUCUUUAAAUCAAGUAUGGGGUUAUAUAUUGGCAUAUUAUAGGUGACAAUUAAAUUAUAGCAUAAUAUGUUUGCUGGAAAUUGACUUAGAUAUUAAUUAUCUUUACUUUGAAAAGAUAGGUUAUUCUUUACAAUGAUGAAAGAUAUUUGGGCAUUAAUCAUUAAUAGCUACACAACAACUUCCCCACCUAAUUCAAGAUUAAAAAAUACUUAGAUUUUUGUUACCCUAACUACAAAAUUAUUCGAUAAUUACAUAUCAAAGAUUUGUAUAUAUGAUCUUUAUGGAUUUGACUACAACAAUAUAACUUCCAAUAAAAAAAUAAUGUUACUUUGAAUAUGACAAAUCGAUAUAAAAUUGUAUUCGACAUAUAUAUUAUAUAUAUACAAAUAGAUCUUUGAUAUAAUCACGCAAAUAGCAGAAUCUUUUUUGAAUGGGCUAAUUUUUUUAAAAGGAAGAAGCUCAAAUAUAUCAUCGAAUUUUGCUCAAAGGCUCAUAUAUGCCAUAAUUAGAAGUUUGUCUCAUCUACGUCAUUUGAGUUAACAAAUAAUGAUAUGGAUGAAUAUUUUCUCUAACAGAUAAGAAAUAGCAUAGAUGAAUCAAUUUUUUAACGAAUGACAUAGAUAAGUCUUUUCUCAAAGUUCGAUAACAUUUUUGAACCUUUUCCUUUUUUUAAUGGUAUGCUAGAUAAAUACAAUGCCUUUGUCAAAUGCUCCAUCUCUUAAUUUUGUGUGUGAAUAGUGAUAAGUGAAGGAAUCAGAAUAUUCAUUAAUGUAUGUAUAUUCUUUUCUUUUUAAUUAUUUUUUUAGUUAAUUGGAAACAAUAAAUACCUAAACAAAAGUUGAUGAUGGGGCUCACACUCAUCUGGAUAACUAGAGAUAGAGGUGUCUAUCUUGUCUCCAUUCUUUUGAAUGGACCCUACCACUUAAUUAUUAUACAGGAAAAAAUAUUUUAGCUUUUGAGAAACAAUUUUGAUAAGAUGAUUAUUAGGUAAGUAUCUUCAAACAGAAUAUAAAUGCUAUCCACACAUUUAUUAAAGGGAGUUAUAAAAUUUAAUUAGUACUCACUCCAUUUUAUAAUACUUGAUCCAAAUUAAUUUGAGACACUUCUUAAAAGAAAUAUUUUCUCCCUUUGAUUUUAGUUGUUUAUAUUUAAUUGGAUGCGUUUUUUGAUAAAUAGUAAAUAAAGUGAUAAUUUUAUUAUAUUAUUUAUGAUUGUUAUGUAAGUCAUAUUAGUGAAAAAUGAAUUAGAAAUAAUUAGUAUUUAAUAAUUUAUCUAUCUAUACUACCUUAAAAGUAUGAACUCUCAAACUUGAAUGUUGAAUUGCUAUAAUACCCCUAAUAAAAAACACUCAAUGUAUUUUAUUUAUUAAUUUAAUUAAUUUUACUAUAUUGAAAGUAGAUACAUUUUCAAAUUAAAGGAUUGUGACUUUUUCAAUGAGUUGUGAGUUUUCCAAAGGGUUGUGACUUUUUUUUACAGGUUAUAACUUUUUCAAUGAGUUGUGAUUUUUUCGAAGGGUUGUGAUUUUUUCGAAGGAUUGUGACUUUUCUAAAGGGUAAUGCCUUUUCUGAUGAGUUGUGCCUUUUUCAAAGGGUUGUUACUUUUCCGAUAAGCAGUGACUUUUUCGAAAGGUUAUGACUGUUUGGAUAAGACACAAUUAACACAUAUUCAUACUACUAUUUGGUAGCUAUAAAAAGAGGGGUUUCCUCACACUUUUAAACUACAAUUUUUUUAAGUUCUCUACUCUUCUUCUUCUUAAAAAAUCUCAAGUGUUAUUUGUAAAAAUUGUGAAUCAUUCAUCAAUUCACAGUCAUAUUUUUUCUUACCAUUUUCAUGAGUUAACAAUGACGAAAAGUUAUGUGAGAGACAAUAAUAUUAAACAUAUAUGAACAAAGGCAUAUGAUUUGGGUAAGAUAUUUCUUCUUUGUUUUUUUUUUUUAUUAUUCUUUUCCCUUAAACGAUGGAGUUUCUUCCUAAUUUUUCUAUAACAAUGGGUAUCAACGUAAUCCAUUGAAUUAUUAGUUUUGAUGUUAAAUUCACUAUUUCAAAAUAGAUUUUAACUUUUACUUAUAAUAUGAUAACAUAGCCAUGAUAAUAAUUAUUUUUAAUAGAUAUGUACGUAAAAAUGAACGGAUAAAGUAAAGUGUUGGUGGCAAGAGGUUUAAAUCAAAUGGAACACUAGAGUAAAUAUAGCAUGAACAUAUAUUUUCGUCUUCCUUCUUCAUUGGCUAUGUAUUGUUCCAUAUUUUUUUUAUGUCACAAGAUACACUCCUUACUAGCUAUAUAAAAAUAGAUAAGAAAACAGUGAUUGAUCAUAAAAUGAUCAUAAAUCAAAUUAAUGAUUCUAUAAAUAAUACUUUACAUUUUAUUCAUCUAUUAAUUUUUAUUAUUGAAAAAUUUAAUAAAGAUAAAAUAUUGAAAUACUUAUGGUAAUCCUUAUUAGUGUCAUGCGCAUACUAAAUUUCAAGUAUUAAUAUUUAAGACAAAAAUUUGUACUUAAACGGUGUACAUCAUUUAUGUUCAUAUCCUCAAGAGUAAAGGCUAUUUGUUACAUUUUUUGAAUGGAUAUUUUUUUUUCUAUUUUGUUGGUUAGAUUUGUUUACAAAAUUGAGUGAAGUAAGAAAUAAUAUUAUUUAAGAAAUGUCACUUUCUCCCAUAGUUAAACUUUGAAUGUAUUUUGAAAUGUUUUAAUAAUGUCUGGUCAUUUUGAUCUCAAAAUACAAGUAACUCUAUGACAAUAUGUAUUAAUAAUUUAAAAACACUUGUCCUAUGUUCGUUCAAUUAUAAUUAUUUACUAAAAAUCUUUAAUUUAAUAAUAUUAAUUCUAUCUUACAACGUCAUAUACUAUAUAUAUGAUACACACGUGCAACGCACGUGCCGUAAAACUAGUAAGAAUAAAAUAUAUGUAAGCUAACAUUUUUUAUUAUUAUUUAAAUUGAAUAAGUAAAAAUGAAAAUUAAUUUCUAAUAUGAAUAUAGUGGAUAAGUAAAAAUGGAUGAAGGAAGUAUUUAUUAGGGGUUUAUUUUAUUUAUCCAUUUUUAGUUGUUCACUACAAUAAGAUAGAUAACCGCUUUUAUUUCUUCAAUUUGAAAAUUAAGAGAUAUUUUAUUAUUUUUAUACCUAUUUUACCUUGUGUACUUUUCGUAUUCCAAUGCAUCAGUCAAAAUAUUGAUUUUAUAUAUUCAAAUAGUGAUUUAGUAAGCUUAUUAUUUUAUUAAUUACUUUUUAAGGCAUGUGCCAAAUUAAACAUGACCAAGUAAAAAUUAAAUAGAAAGUACACUUAACUAAUCUUAUUAAUUAUUUUCUCUGUUUCAUAUUACUUGACUCCUUUAUUAAAAUUAAGAUGUUUCAUUUUAAUUUUUUCCUUAUCAUCCGUAGUAUUAAAAAACUAGAUAAAGUAAUAGUAGUAAAAUAUAAAAUUUCAAAAUAUCAUUAGUAUGGUUAAUUGAGUAAAAUAUAUCCGUAUUAAAAAAUCCUUAAGAAGUCAUGUGCCAAAUAAUAUGAAACAAAGGAGGUAUGUUUUAAAAUUUUAAAUUUUACUGGUAGUAAUUUAAAACUCGUUAAUCCAGCUCAUUAUGUUUCUAAACUUCAUUAAACAACCAUUGUUUUCAGACAUAAUGCACUAUAAUUAUGGACUACUUUACAAUUAUCAUCAUCAGUUUCAAUAAAUAUUGCACUAUAUUGUGAUCUCGAGGUUAACAUUUUUUAUUUCUUCUCGAUGAAAAAUGAACUUAGAGAAUAUAAGUCCAUCCGUUUCUUUUUAUAUGUCAUCUUUAUUAUAAAUAAUUGAUCCAUAAUACUUGUCAUUUCAUAAAAUUAAUGCAUAAAUUAUAAUAUUCUUCCUAUUUUACCCUUGUGAGUUAUUAGCCUUGAAAAUAUAUAUUUAACAAACAUAGAAAAAUUAAGUGAAUAAUUCAUGUUCAUUGGUCAAAUUAUCAAAAUAAAUUAAUUUAUAUUUAUUGAUUGAAAAAUUAACUUCAUAAAAAGUUAAAUAAAGGUAGAAUAGUAAAAUUACAUAAUUUCUUAAUGCACGGCGAAAUAAAAAAUGGUGACAUAUAAAUAAAAACGGAUGGAGUAUAACUUUAUCAUUUGUGUGACCGAAAAUAAUAAAAAUAGGAAAAAGGUUCAAAAAAGUCCUUGCAGUUUGCAAAAUGGUCUAUUUUUGCCCUCUAUUUAGAGUUUGAGUCAAUUAUGCCAUUGUUAUUACAAAACACAAUUGUGAAUUGACAUUGUAUAUAUUGAUACUUAUUUUCUACUAGUUAUUUAUUUAAAAAAAAAUAGGGUCAAUUCAUUAGACAAGUCAUUAUGGUAAAGGCUUUUAGACCUUCAAAUUUUUGGGGCCUAUUUCUAUCAAUAGUUAUUAAAAGUAAAGCAAACGUGUGUAAAUUUCUUUUUCUUUAAAAAUAUAUUGAAUUAAGUUAGAAAAUAAUUCAUAGUCUCAUGUGCUUGAUAAACUACAUAUUCUAUUUUCCAAAUUAAAACACCGUCAAAUAAUUUUAAAUUUAGAUAUCAAAGUCUGUCGAAAUAGGAUUAUCCUUUAUCUUUGUUUUUAUGUAUACCUCACAAGCACACAUGUUUAACACCAAUAUAUAUAUGUGAUUUAAUUAUUUUUUUUACUAAUUAUUGACGUAAAAUGUAUAUGUAGUGCACACAACACAUGUAUAAGAUGCACAUGUGGGGAAAGACACUACUAAAAAAUUGUCAAAAAAACAACGGCCAAAAGCGACGGACUGCGUCGCUUUUUUGGUCAAAAUCGACGGAAAAGCGACGCAAUCACUUCCGUCACUUUUAGCUCGACGCUUUUCAAAAAGCGACGGACUGCGUCGCUAAAAAGAGACGGACAACGUCGUUUUUAAAAAAGCGACGGACUGCGUCACUUUUAGAGACGGACUGCGUCUCUUUUAGCGACGGACUGAGUCGCUUUUUUACUUUUUUUUUUUAAAAAGCGACGGACUGCGUUGCUUUAUUUUAAUUUUAAUUUUUUUUAAUUUAUAAAGGCCGACGCAGUCCGUCACUUUUCUGAAAAUUUAUUUUUUGAAAAUCUCAGAAAAGCGAUGGACUGCGUCGCUUUUAGAGACGGACUGAGUCUCUUUUAGCGACGGACUGAGUCGCUUUUUUACUCUUUUUUUUUUGAAUUUUUUUAAAAAAACGACGGACUGCGUCGCUUUAUUUUAAUUUCUAGGGCGAUGCAGUCCGUCGCUUUUUUGGAAAUUUAUUUUUUGAAAAUCCCAGAAAAGCGACGGAUAAAAGGACACUGUCCGUCGCUUUUCUGGAAAUUUAUUUUAAAACUUAAAAAGCGACGGACAAAACCACGCUGUCCGUCGCUUUUCUGAGUUUUAAAAAAUUAAAACCCAAAAAGCGACGGACUAAACCACGCUGUCCGUCGCUUUUCUGAGUUUUAAAAAAUUAAAACCCAAAAAGCGACGGACUAAACCACGCUGUCCGUCGCUUUUUCUGCAAUAUUUUUGAUAGCAGGAGCUCGCAGCUUCUGCUGCCCACCUGCAAAUGCAAUUCAAUUCAAUUCUACACUAUUCAGCCCAAUCAAACACACACAAUUAUAAACAAUCUAAACAAAACAUAAAACAACAAACUUAAAAUAACAUUCAAAAGUAUCUAAAUCAUAAAUUAAAGACUUAUAAAGUCUUUUAAAAUUCGUUUUAAAAUUUCAAAAAGUUCAUAAAUGUCCAGAGAUCUAAACUAGGAAGUUAGAUCUACAUAAUCAUCCUCAUCACUCUCGUCGUCGGUGUCAUCGGGAGCCGAAGUACUAGGUCGACGAGCGAGGUUCAUCACUUGUUCUUUGAUUUGCUGAACGGUCUCACUCAGGCUUUGUUGUUCAGCUACUCUUUUCCGCUCCGACUCUGCUAGUGCCGCUGUAAGUUUAGCUAUUUGAUCCGACAUAGCAGCAAUCUGAACACCGUCAAGUGCCUCAGCUUGACGUGACGAUCCAAUACCUUCUAAGCCUGACUGAAGGCGUCUAACAUCGUUGCGAGAGCCUAGACCAUAGCAUCUACCCUUGUGUGUCCCCCCUACCACUUUUUCUUUCCAAAUCUGAGUGGACAGUUCAGGUGUCAAUUGAACCAAACUAUCUAGAUUCUCAUCGACGAACUUAUGAAAGUCAUUCUGCAUAUUAAAUAUAAAUAUUGACAUCAAUAUAUAUACAUAUCAUAAAUAUAUUCACUAUUGAUAUAUAUUAUUCAUAUUANNNNNNNNNNNNNNNNNNNNNNNNNNNNNNNNNNNNNNNNNNNNNNNNNNNNNNNNNNNNNNNNNNNNNNNNNNNNNNNNNNNNNNNNNNNNNNNNNNNNNNNNNNNNNNNNNNNNNNNNNNNNNNNNNNNNNNNNNNNNNNNNNNNNNNNNNNNNNNNNNNNNNNNNNNNNNNNNNNNNNNNNNNNNNNNNNNNNNNCUCCCAAGUACACAUAGUCUGAAAAAAAUUGAAUAAUGUUAAUUAAAUCGAUAGUAAAAAAAAGUAAAGUAUACUAAACUUAACUAAAAAAUAUAUACCUUAAAGUUAUUAAACAUCGCCUGGCGUAUACUGUUUGGAAUCUUGCUCCAAGAGUGAUAAGCUUGUGUAUAGAGUCUUCUAACACACUCUUUUAAAGCCCGGGCAGCAUCCUUUGCAGGAUGCCACCUGCAAAACACAUAAUAAAUAUGUUAGUUCAUGAAUAAUAUAUUAAAGUAUAAGAAAUAAAUAAAAUAAACUAACAAAUAGAUAACAAAACAAACUUACGAUGAUCCAUCCGGCUCAAUCAUGACUAUACCAAGUCUGUCCUUCUGUCCUGGAGCUAGAGUAGACAUCGUAUCAUAUGGUGUAGCACUUGAUUUGUUAAACUACUCGAGGAAUAUAUAUAUAUAAUUAAUCAACGUAUUUCAUACUCCGAUGAAGUAUCAUUUACAUGUCAUCAUAAUUAGGAGGUGAUCACUACACUUGACAUCCAUUCAAGAUCGAACGUAUAUAAUAAUACUAUCUCGCAUUUCAUACUGGAAUGAAUUAUAUGUUAGCUCUUCACUUCUGCUACAUCACGACAUGAGAUAUUAAGUUUAUGAUUAGACGACGAACUGAUAGGAUUUGUACAUUACUCUAUAAAUAUAAGUAUAAUUAUCUCCUAAUUCAUAUCAACGUAGUUUCAUACUCUAAAUAUGGAUUAUAGAUAUUUUUUUAUUUAUUCCACGAAUUCUAACUUUUUAUUUAUAAAAGUAUACAAAAUUGUUACACUUUUUGAACAAUUAAUCGUAGGUGUAAAAUGAAAAUUUAAUAUUAUGCACAAUAGCAAAAUUAUGAUUAAUAGAAAUAUUUUAAACAUACCGACCUCCGGAUGUCGCUUUUAUUAAAAGUAAUUAGAUAUAAUAAAAAAUACCGACCUCAUGAGGUCGGUAUCACAUUAAAUUUUAAGAUAAAUAAAAAUUAAUCAUGUUAAUUAAAUAAUAUUGACAUCGGGAGGUCGGUAUUUUAUAUUAAAUUAUUUUUUAACUUAUAUAAAACCGUCAUUCGGUUUAUUUAAAGUUAAUUGAAAAUAUUAAUUUAUUACAUACUAUUUAAUUUUACCGACAUCUGAAAGUCGGUAUUAUAAUUUUUUUUGUUUUUUAUUUUACACAAAACCAUUCUCCGGAAGACGAUUUAAAUAAUUUAAAUCAAAAUAUUUCUCAAUUUUAUUUUUUAUAUGAUUAAACUUUAAAGUACUAAAAAGUGUUGGAGAAUUUAUUAAUUUCCUCAUUUCUCAUAUUGUGAUGGCUUUGGUACCUUAGACUUGAAGAAAACUCUUUUUUCUUUCUAAAGAAGUACAGUCGAAAUCAUGAAUUUUUAUAAUUAAAAAAAUUGUGUCAAAAGUUGGUGGGAAAGUCUAAAGACACAUGCCUAUUACAUUUCAAAGGAGGAAAGGUGAAGAAUAUAAAAGACAUAAAAUAAAACGAAAAGGAAUAUAUAUAUAUAUGGAGAGGCUCAACGGAAUUGGUGGCCUAAACUCAAAUUUUAAUUAGAGAUUUCAAGUGUAUAUUCAAUAAAAUUAGCUUCUGUGAGCAUCACGUAUCUCUCACUACUAAAAAACUGCUAAAAAACGAUAGAAGAAAAAGCGACGGACUAAGAGAUGCCGUCCGUCGCUUAUUUUAAAAACUAAUUAAUAAAAUAAAAUAAAUUAAAACGACGGACAGCGCAGUUAUUAUUUAAUUUAUAAAUAAUUAUUUUUAAUAAAAAGAGACGGACUAAGAGAUGCAGUCCGGCGCUUUUUGGUAAAAAAUUUUAAAAAUAAUUAUUUUAAUUAAAAAGCGACGGAUGGCAUCUCUUAGUCCGUCGCUUUUUCUUCUAUCGUUUUUUAGCAGUUUUUUAGUAGUGAGAGAUACGUGAUGCUCACAGAAGCUAAUUUUAUUGAAUAUACACUUGAAAUCUCUAAUUAAAAUUUGAGUUUAGGCCACCAAUUCCGUUGAGCCUCUCCAUAUAUAUAUAUAUUCCUUUUCGUUUUAUUUUAUGUCUUUUAUAUUCUUCACCUUUCCUCCUUUGAAAUGUAAUAGGCAUGUGUCUUUAGACUUUCCCACCAACUUUUGACACAAUUUUUUUAAUUAUAAAAAUUCAUGAUUUCGACUGUACUUCUUUAGAAAGAAAAAAGAGUUUUCUUCAAGUCUAAGGUACCAAAGCCAUCACAAUAUGAGAAAUGAGGAAAUUAAUAAAUUCUCCAACACUUUUUAGUACUUUAAAGUUUAAACACUAAAUAAAGUUUUAUUUUGACAUUUGGUAAAAUAUAUCAUUUCACCCCUAGUGGCUUUAUGCUUUUUCUCUCAACCAAGUGCAAUUUUUUUUCAUAAUACGUUGCAUGGUGCAUGCAACUUAAAAAAAAAUAAUAUUAAAGAAUAAGAAUUACUACAUGUAAAAUGUUAGUAAAAUAUUAUUUAUUGUCUUAUUGACCAUCUUAUUAGAAGUUCUAGAUCAACAAUCAACCAUUUUACUUAUACAAUAUUUCAUACAUCACAAUAUCUAUAAAUUUCAUCGUAUUUUCUCCUUUCUUAACUGAAAGCACUCAACACACGUCAACGAACACAUAUAUUAUAUAUAUUAUGUAUCUAGACACAUAAUAUAUGUUGCGCGUGUGCCCCCAUUUGAGAUCUAAAUUAGGUCAAGAAGAAGGGCCUCCAUUAUUUAUUGACAUUUUUUUUUUCUUUUUGUAAAGUUGGACCCUUAGGGUUGCAUGACAUUUAAAUAACAUAUCUUAUACCAAUCUUAUUAAAAGUUAUUAAAUUAGGCAACUUCUGCAGGACAUGUCAAAGGGAGAGGCAUUAUAUUGUCUCUUAUAACCCUCAAAUUACCAAAUUGAACAAUACAAGAACUAAAAGUUCAAUUAAAAAAUUAAAUCAUGUAUGUCGCUAAUUAAUACUCACCUGAUGGAUAUUUAUUGUUUUAUGGACCAGAUAUAUUCUCAUUUGCACUACAUUAUUUUAUGUUUAUAGCCAACAGAUUGAAUAUAUGUUCCAUGUUCAUAUAUACCUAGGCCCUAGACUUAAUUGAUAAGUCCAUAACUAGGGAUGUUAAUCAUUUAUUAGGGUGAAGAUUAAUUAGCCAAUCUUAUUUAAUUGGAGUUAAUUAGUUUAAUCUAGAUUCUAGACUAGGGAUAGGUUAUCACAGCUGUAUAGUUGUACAAGCACAUGAUAUCCACAUGAAAUUGUUGAUUAAAUUACCAUAUAUAUAUAUAUAUAUAUAUAUUCAGAGGCGAAUUGAAAGUUAAACAUUGGGAAUUCUAAAGAUUCCCUAGGGGAAAAAUAGAGAUGUCUCCUAUGUUACCCAUAAUAUGUGAAAGUAUCGACGUAAUUUCAUAGAGUUAUUCGGUCUGAAUGCUACAUGAAGAACAUAAGCCAGAUGACGGAACGGGAAGACCCAGGAUGGCUUUUUUACCCCAUUGUAGGGUGGAUCUCGAAAGAUAUGAAAGAUCUCCCUCCAAGCCGUACAUACGACUUUCAUCGGCUAUAUAUAUAUAAAGUAAAAUAGAAUGACGGGGCUUGAAAAAUAAUACUUCCCUCUGUCCCUUAUUACUUGUCCACUUUUGAAUUGACACACCUAUUACGAAAACAAUUAUUAACAUAGCGAGUUUACUAUUUUACCCCUAUUAAUUAUGAAGUGAAUGAAUUAAAAACUUAAGUUUUCAAGAAGUUCUACUUUUUUCAAAGUAAUUAAUUGAUGAUAUAAUAGGUAAAAAAAAUUGUCCUUUCUUGAUUUGUCAAAAUUGACAAGUAAUUAAGGACAACUAUAAAAAGAAAAGUGGACAAGUAAUUAGGAACAGAGGGAGUACUACAAAUUAUUGGAAAUAGAAGAAAUACUACUAAAAACAAUACAAAAAAUCAACGGACAAGAGCGGUCCAAAAAAGAAAAAUCUAGAAAUUGAUCUUGUCGGUUAAUUUUUUUUUUUUCAAAGAAGAUUGAUGGACGUUUAUUUUCUCGCACAAAAAUGCGUGAAAAUCAAAUUGAUUAGAAAGAGUUGUUCGGAUGGUAAGCAUUUCUCACCUUCAACACGAAAGUUGUGAGUUUGAGUCACCAAGGAAGCAAAACGGUGGAAAUGGAAGCCCCUGAGGUCGAUUCUAAAUAGAUAUAAAAUUGAGUAUAUACCGUCCGUCGGUUUUACGCCUAUAAAGCUUAAUUGACGAUACAAGAUUAUGUAGGCCACAAUUUGAAUUGACAUAAAAUGAUAAAUGUCACUAAAUUGCGACUCUGCUUCACUAGCUAGUCAAAGUAAUUAAGAAAGACAAGUUAGAUUAUGUGACCUAACAAUUAUAAAGCUGUCCACCCACAUUGGAUGGACAAUUAUGUGUUGGAAGCAUAUAUUAUAUACAUAAUAAAAUUGUCUAACCUAUAGUGGUAUAUUAUAAGCAAUUAUUCAACAGAAUAUUUUGCAGUAUAGUUUGAAGUCUCCAAAUUUUGCCCAUCAUUCAGAUAUAAGUGGAUUUACACGAUAAAGUUAUAGCUACUUGCAUUAUAUCAAUGAUUAGUGAAUAGUCAUGUCAUUUUUUUUCUUUUUUUUCAAAAUGAAUGAUUGACCCCAAGAAUCAGACAUGGGGUUAAUUACAUUUCUCUAAAGAAUAUUUUUAUUUUGGCAAUGGGAAAUAAUAAUAACAUAGUAUUCUCCUUUUAAUUUGGUUACUUAGACAUUGAAAAACUGAAUUAUGAAAUUGUGAGAUAGAAUUUUUGAAUUGAAUUAAUAUGUGCCAAAUUGAAUAAGCAUGAAUAAUGGAUCCAUGGAUGAAGAUAGAAAGUUGAAUUCUAAUUGUAACUAAAUUUUCAAUUUCUUAUUUGUAAAGAAGAAAGUGAAAUAAAAUAACUAUAUUAAAUAAUGAUUUUGAUUUACCAGAGAUAUCAACAUAUUGUUUUAGCUUGGUGGAAAACAAAAUCGUUUUCCUCAGGAUACUAUAAAUUAGAAAUAAUAGAGAACAAAAAUAAUUAGAAAGAUUUUUAAAAUGAUCAUCUACAAAGCCAUUCAUUUUUAUCUUUAUUCAUACCAAAAAAUGACAUAGAUGUUAUGAGUAGAUCCCCUUGCUCGUACUUAUUCCUAUUGAUAUUUUUUUAUGUAAAAUAAAAGACCGCUAGACACUGUCUAGUAGGCUUAAAAAAAACAAAAAAAACAUGAUGAAGUUGUUAUGAUUAAUUAAAAAAAAUCAAAAAUCAUAACAACAUCGGACCAAUUUGACAUAUUAUUUGAGAUCCUUGACAAUAUUUAAAGAUUUUCGUGUUGAACUUCUUUUUCUCGAAACGGUUGCUAAAUAUUUUUUCACCAGAUACAUUUAAAUUUAGGAAAAGACUCAAAUAUGUUAUUAAACUUUGGAAAAAAGUUCAUCUAUAUUAUUCGUUAAAAAAUUGUCUCAUUUAUGCCAUUUCGUUUGAAUAGUUGUGCAAAAUCAAAACUAUUUUCAAUUGAUAAAUAAUGACAUAAAUGAGUCUUUUCUCAAAUGAAAAUGAUACAGAUCGAUGAACCAAACCUAACGGAAAGCCAUAGAUGAACUUUAUCUCAAAAUUCGAUGACACAUUUAAACAUUUUCCAUAAAUUUUAAAAAAGAGAAACUGAAAAAACUUUCUCUAAUGCAGUUUGACAGGAGGUACACUAUUCUCGAGUUUUACAAUACUCGAUAGGAAUCGAAUUUCACUUUCCAAAUUCCGAUUCCCCAUUUUUUUUUCCGGUUUCUCAUUCAGUGUUGAUACUCACAUUAAUGAUUAUUAAAUUCGAAUUCGCCUCGAAAAAUCGAUAGUAGUGAUUAUUAAAUUUGAAUUUGCCUCGAAAAAUCGAGAGCCUAACACUAUCCCGAGACCUCUGCUCUAUCACAGUAUAGUAAUAUAUUCAAAAGAAAUUACAGAUAACUGGAAGGGAAAUUGAAAUUGAGGCAAUUGAAGGUUGCAACGUGUAAUUUGAACCAAUGGAAUAUGAAUUUCGACUGCAAUUUGAGGAACCUGUUAUGCUCACGUAAGUUUCUAUAUGUGCUAUGUUAAAUAUCAUUUCUUCGGGUCGUUUUUGUUCUUGGUUAGGAAGUGAAUUAUUCAGGUAUCAAAAUCAGCAUAAUUGGAAUCGUGUUUGAUAGCAUUUUAGUUGUUAUGUAUCAAAUUUUACACACCAAGCACGGUGUUUGGCUACCAGUUUACAAUCCCGCACAACUAAAACAUGUAUUUUAUGUAGGGCAGAAGAUGGAAUAACUAAACUCGACAUAACAUGCAUAACUUUAACAAAUAAUUGUGUGAAUAAUCCGGGUAAUCCUACUACUUUGCACAUAUGAAUAAAUGAAUAAUUGAUUCCACUAGUGUGAGCUUGCUCAAAUUGACAGUUUCAAGCUUGAAUAAAGGAGGAGAGGGUUGCAGUGGGCUGACAAGUGACAACUGGUGUAUAACUUGUCAAUUAACCGACCCCAACUCGUUUUGGACUGAGGCGUAGUAGUAAUUGUUGUUACUUUGCACAUAUGAAUGUUUGGUUUUGUUGUGGAGUAACAAGACCUAUUGAUAAUAUAAUAUGCUGAUUUUUCAUUUGAGAUGGAAAUCAGUUUGUUUUGCCUUGGCCACAACAAGUCAAUUAUAUUGGUGAUAUCAUCAAGGUUUCUCAUCAUUGAAAUACUACUUGAUGUUUAAAAAGAAAGACUCACUGAUAAGUUGGCAUCAGAAAAGAAGUAGAGAGACAGUAAAUUAUCAUUUGAGUUUUUCCCUCCUUUGUAAAGUUUCCAUUAACUUGCAGGUGGGAGAUUGGACUGAUGGCAUAUUAUGUUUAUGUAGCUUCAGUAUAUGUGCCUGUUAUCAGAUUCAGAACAUUACAACUGUCAAAUGUUGUGCCUAAACAGGAAAAUAGUCAUGAUAAGGCCAAAGUUGUGGCUAGCAAAUGAUGGCAACUACCGAGAAAUCCGAUGGUAAACAAAAAUAGCAUCUUCAAGGACUGCUAAAUGUGCAUAGUUUUGGUGAUCCUGUUUUUGCCUAAACCAAAAGCAAACCAAUUUUUAACAGGCUUUAAAGUUACAUAUCAAAACCAAACCAAGAGUGUAAAAGAAUUGUCUGUUUUGCUUUGUUGGUUCUAAAUUGGUGUAUUUGAGUUUAUCAAGUCUUCAUUGUAUUUUGCUUUAUCAUUGUAUAUCAAGUGAUAAUGGUUCUUACUUCCCCUUUGGUACUGUCUGGUGUAUUCAGCGUUUCUUAAUUAAGUUUGCUUAGUGAAUUGCUUUCUGUUUCCAGAUUAGAUACGAGGAGGAUAUAGCACUUGAACCUUUUGCUGGCUAUGGGAUUAUCUAAGAGUAAGUGGUGCAUCUGGAUUUUUGCUUCCAGUGUCUGGUGGUGCUGAUAGUUCCUUCCUUGUUGCUAUAGUUUUUCAAUGUGACAUCUUGUAGUAAAAGGUUUAUUGGAUUCUCUUCCCUUCUAAACAUCUAUAUUGUUGAGUUCUAGCUAUUUUCCUGUUUUUUUGUAGCUAGAGUAUGACAAUCACAUUGCUGUCAUGUAAAUAGGUUUCGUUGUAGUUAAUGAGAAGAAUGAAAUUGCAGUGAUUAUGUUCCCCUAUCCGUGUAGUCGCUUGAACCUUUGGUAGUUUCCUACAUGAACCAACAGCAUCCUUCAGUGAAAAAAUGAUAGAUAAUUACUGGUGCUGUUUGAUUACUCAAAUUAUUAACUGGAUUCGUAUUUGGUGAAUUGUUACCGAGAAAACAUGGUACGUGUGGAGGUCUGCUUUGUUAAAAUGUACUAGUUACUAAAGAAUGGUCUCACUUAUAUAAUUUUGGGAUUGAACUUCCCAUGGUGUAGUUAAACUGAAAAUGCUACAGCAUGGUCAAAUUUUGAGGGGAUCCUUGAUUUGUCACAUUAGUGGUCAGGUUUCCGCUACACAUCAGCUAAUUUUUCCGUCUGUAGUGUUCUAGAGCUGGCAAGCAUUUUUAUUAUCCUAUCCGUGCAUGUCCUGUAAUACAUGUACCCUGUCUUCAUUUACGCUAUUCUGACUGAUAAAUUGCAUUGAGCUGGUCAGAUUGUCUACCUUAUUGUUAAAGGUAAAAGUAAACAGCACUUAGCUUUGUUUUCUCUGUAGUUUACUCACCGGUGAUGUCAAUGCAGAAAUUGCAAAUGGCGAUGAACCGGUAAAAGCUGAUGACAUUUGAAUUGGCUAAUACACUGAUGGUUAGUUUUCAACGGGAAGCAAAGAAUUUGCUGAGCACGUUGUUUAUACUGUUUUUACUUUUUAUGGGAUCUGAAAAUAGGCAAUAAAAUCAGCAAAGUGCCACUAUUUUCUCCUUUAUCAGAUUUUCUAUUCUGAUUUAUAGGUGUUCUCUAAUUACAACUGUAGUAAUAAUUUACUACUUUAAAGUUGCUUUGCUCAUUUUCAAUUUGCAAAUGGCUUUUUUAUUGCCUUGCCUUGGGCAGCAUAUUUCUGGUCCAGAAUUGAGAGCCCUUUUAGUAAUCUUAAUACAUGUAGAAAAUUUGAACAUUGCAAAGAUGAGAAUUUGGUCAUCAUGAAAUCUCGGCUAGACCUGUUGUGCUACUGCCUGCUAAACCAGUGUUCUCAAAGGCGAUCGCCAUUGCACCUUUGGCGAGAGGCGAGGCGAGGCAAGGCUAGUCAGACCCUUGUCUCCGUUUGUCGCCUUUCGCCGUCCAAAACACUGUGCUAAACCAAAGCUGACAACCAACCUCAUGAAUUCUAGGAGUCAACCCUACUUAGAUUUUGUUCUUAAAUGACAUUCAUUCUCUAAUAUCAAGGACUCAUUAAAAUUCCGAGAAGUGAAUAUUCCCAUAGAGUUUAAUGACACCGUUGAUCUGAACUUUAAGGGUUUAAAUUUUGCAAGUUUUUUACUUUUACUGGCGGAUGAAAUUAGAAAGAGAAUGACAUCUCCAACUGUAAGCAGAUGAUCUACUAUAAGAUUUCAUGCCUUUUCUAUUGAUUCAUAUAUGUCACCUUCAGUGGAGAAGUCCUAAGGGUGUCCUCACUUCUGGAGAAUACCAACAGUGUUCUAUCAGAACUCUAUGUUUGAAAAUGAUUUAUUUGAAUUGAUUAUUGAGCCAAACAGUGUUGUUUAUGCGUGUGACGGUUCAGAAGCCACAAAAAACCGGGCAAAGGUGUUGUCUAAUGAGAUAGAUCCUGGCCUCUUUAAUUUUGGUCUCUUCACUACAUUUUAUAUUUCAAACACUUACUGGAAAGUCCACACUACAAGGUAAUAAUGUGAUAAAUUUUACCCUUAUCUAAUUAUUUGCUUUAUGGAGGAACUGAAACCUUUACCCUCAUAUUGUUUGGCCAACUAAUAGUUGGUUGGACUAAUAAGAACCAUUUCUGAAAUAAAGACCAAGUAAUUGCUUGUCAGUGCAAUUUUAACCUGAGUAUCUCUUUGUAGGUAGAUGGGGGGAUAAGACAUUGAACAUGUAUUAGUUAGUCCCGAGAUUAUUUAUCCCACCAUUUAUGAUAACUAAUCCCAUGGGAUCACUUUGUCCCAUCCCCGAUACCAAACAACCCCUUAGGGUAGCAAAACAUUCAAGCUUGCGUCUGAAUGGUUUUAGCGUUCAUGUUAGCAUCUCUACUACCGUGGCUUCAUAAUAAACCUGGUUUUUAUCUAGUUUUUGGUAGCUCCAAUGUGGAUGGAUGAAGGAUUAUGUGGUUACUUAACAAAGGUAGAAGAAUUUUUUGUUGAAUCGAGUCAACAGACGUGAUGAGAAUAUAAAGUGUAAAGUUAGUUAGCUGUGAACAGUAAAAGUUAGUUAGUUGUGAACAGUAGAGUUAGUUGACAUUCAGUUACAUUAGAGUCAAGUUGUUGAUUAGUUAAAUUCUGCCAUAGUUUGUUGAUUAGUGAUUUGUAUAUAUAGAUUCACAUUGUAAUACUUAUUUUCUUAAUUCACAUUCAAUGAAAAAUAUCUUUCCAUGUAUCUUCUCUCUCGAUUUCUUUCUCUCAUAUCAGUACAUUCUCCAUUAAUGGAGAUUGGGAGCUCACAGUGCUGAUUUUGUCAAGACGAUUUUUGGGCCACCUAGCUACUACUGUUUGAAUUUGUUUGCAGCUGGCUUGAACUCUCCUCAUAUUUUGAUCUUCUGUGCUUGUAGAGCAUGUUGAUAAACAGAUAACAGAUUGAAUUGUAUAUUAGUGCAUCUCUCUCUUUUUUUUCUAACACUUAUUCAGGUGAUAACUGUCUAUAUUUGCUGUAUGAUUGUAGUUCAGCAGAUAUAGAUAUCCAAUUGGAAGCAUCAGUAAGAUGGAUCUUCGAACAUUUCUGAAAUGGGUUGCCAUUCAUCUCGGUUACUCAUUCUCGACAAAGAUUGUAGCUGCACCACCUACUGCUGAAGUGGAACCUAUACGUUCAAAUUAUAGUCAGGUAUUGAUUCAGUGUACUGCCUAUUUUCAGUUUCUAAUGCCUUUUCUAGUCUUGCGUAUGAUCAUGUUUCCUGUUACUAGUAUUUUCUUAUCCUUCACUAAUAAAUCACUAUGGAGAGUUUUUAUUCUGCAUUACAAUAUUUGUGAAACAACUGGAUGAAAUGGAUAAGGGUAUGACCUAUGAUGAGCUUUCAGUGUAUGGAAGGUUGUGGAAGAUUUUUCGCUGGGGACCUGUCCGUAUCAAUGUUUAAGAUUUGUCCUCUCAUUCUGUAAGUCUAUGGAAGCAGACUUGCCGUAGGAUCAUUUCUUCCACAGGUUUCGUAGUCCUUGACAACUUACUGAAUCAUAUUGCAGAAUAUGUGUUACAAAUGGGCACAAAGUUGACGCGUGCAGAGGUGGCUGACAAAGUGAAGUACCUUCUUUAAGUACUAUUCCAUUCCAUCAAUAGACGGACAAGGGAGGCUUGCUCAAGUGGUUCGAGUCACUCUGGAGGGUAAGUAGAACACUGUUGAUCCUCCUUAAAAAGAGAGAGAGAUACAUACCCGUACUAAAUGCCUGCCUACUCGUUCCCAUAUCCAUGUACCUUAAAGCCAAGUAGUCAGAGCCAGUAUAAAGGAUUUAGACAGUGUAAUGCUAUUGUUCUGUGUUCCAUACUUUCAUUAGAGAAGCAUCAUCAUCAUUUACGCCUCAAUCCCAAGCAAGUUGAUGUCAACUAUGUAGGCAUUAGAAGUUCUUUAUAGUUUCUACAUAAGAUUGUUUAUCAGAUAAGGCAUAUAAAGUUUCUCGUCUUGCAGAGUUGUGUUAUUCACCCAAAGACAACAACAGGUUUGAUCUGCGGCAGCUUCUGUACAAAAUUAGCCAGCCUUAUCAACUUUGAAAGAUUGAUAAGCUUGCUGGUGAAUGGUGAUAGAGAAAUGGGUGUUGUGGCAACUGGCUUGGGCGAUUAAAGGGCUCGCGUUUCAUUCUAACUUUGAUGAUUUAGCUCAACGUGCAGCUGAAUAGGAGAAACUGGAUUUUAAAUGCUUUCCAAGAGAUCUUCAUUUUUACGCACAAGAGAUAUGAAAAUGUUACUUUUUUCUUCUGUUGCUCAUUUUGUAAGUGGCCAAAUUUGAUACAAAACAACUACUAACACAAGAUAGAAAAAUGAAUCAGUUAAACCAAAACUCUUUGACCAAUCACCUAAACCAAAGACCAACCAAGUAAUUUAUUUAACUUUUUAUACAUUAGCAGUUUUUUUUAAGCAUAUUUUUACCUAUUACAACAAGUUAUUUACUUUACCCAAUUAUGAAAGAAGCAAAAUAGUUGAAUUAAUGGUUAAAAAAUAGACUUUAACUAUUCAACGAUUCAUUGUUCUAUUUACCUAUUUAAACUAUCACUAUUAAUAUGCACCUUGACAUGGAGUUAGCCGAAUAUUUAUUCCCAAUUGACAAUUGCCGUAUGUUAGUUAAAUCAACUUAACAUCGAGUGAUAAUUGAAGUAUGAAACUCGCAAAAAAGUGAUAGUUUAAAAGUAUUUGUUUUACCAUUAAUUCAUAUUAGUUUGAUUCAAACUUGCAUUUUCUUUUUUAAAAUGAUUAUAUUAAAUACUUUUUUUUUUGUGAAUUGCGUUUAACAAAUUUUUUAGGCCGUUGCCGCUCUAGAUCCUCUUUUCCCUCCAUUUUUUCCUCAUGUACUGACAGUACCAGUGACAAUAAUGUACUUUAAUUCGUUUUCAGGGGCAUUUGAGUAAUUUACUAAAGCAAAACAAUUUCCUCCUGUUUUCUUAUUAAGCAAAAAAACCACCUUCGUAAAUUUUGUUCUUCACAUUUCGGUCUGGAAAACCUCAAACGACAGCUUUGUGCUUAGUUCAAGGAAACAGCAAUGGAUGCCGACGAGGUGACAAUUUUUUAUUUUUUUUGCAUGUUUUCAUUUUUAUGAUAAAUGUUAUUUUUAUUUUCUUAUAUUAUGUUGGAGUAUAACAGAACGAGUUUAGGAUUGAGGUUUGAGGAGUGGUAGUAUUAAUUAGUUGUAAAUUUAGUGAUAUAUUUUUUUGAUAAUUUUUGUAUGUGUUUGUUACUAUCUGUUGCUUCAUUUACUUUAAAUCUUAGUUUUUGCUGUCUUAUUUUCUAAUAAUCGUGUUCUCUACCUCACAAAGGUAGUGUGGUAAGGCACCCAAGGGUGUGUCGUAGUGGUCAAUCGAAGUGGUUGAGAAAUUUGAGGUCUCAGGUUCAAAACUAGCGGAGACUAAAACACUAGUUGAUUUUUUUCCCAAUUGUCCUAGCCUUGGUGGACAGAGUUACCUGAUACUUAUUCCUGGUGGUGGAGGUGGCACAAAAGUUGGCCCGGACACCACAGUCACAAAAAAAAAGAAGGUAGUGUGGUAAGGUCUAAGUUGGGGCGGUGGCAACUAUCCCGUGGAAUUAGUCGACGUGCAUGACAGUUGGUUCGAAUACCACGGUCAUAAAAAAAAUGUAGUGUGGUAAGGUCUAAGUUGGGGCGGUGACAGGUAUCCUGUGGAAUUAGUCCAAGCGCGUGAAAGUUGGUCCGAAUACAACGGUCAUAAAAAAAAGGGUAGUGUGGUAAAAUCUAAGUUGGGGCGGAACCAAGUAGGGCUGAAGGGGUUUAUUCGAAUUUAUACAUGGUUAAAACUAUUUUUUAUGUAUAGAUAGUAGAUAUUGAAAUCGCCUUCGAUUUCUUCUAUUCAUAGUUAGAAACUCAUUAAUGAAAAUUUCGGUUGUGCCACUUGAUCUAAUGCAGUGGUAAGGUGUACGCUCAUUUUAACCUCCCCAGGCUCCACUUGUGAGAUUGCACCGAGUAUGUUAUUCUUGUUGUUUCAUUUGUUAACAUUGUAACCUCCCUAGACUCCACUUGUGAGAUUGCACCGAGUAUAUUAUUGUUGUUGUUUCAUGUGUUAACGUCGUAACCUCCCCAGAAUCCACUUGUGUGAUUGCACUGUGUAUGUUAUCGUUGUUGUUUCAUUUGUUAACAUCGUAACCUCCCCAGACUCCACUAGUGAGAUUGCAAUGAGUAUAUUGGUGUUUUUGUUACAUUUGUUAAUGUUUUUUUUGGGUUACAGAGAUUAAUAGCUUUAGAAAAGGCGUAUACGGAUGUAGUCUUGAACACAGAGAAAGAAGCAGCGACGAGGAUUAUGGUGUCGGAACAGAAAGCUCAAUGUUUUCAAGAGGAGCUCCAAGUGGUGAAAGAAAAGGGGCUAAUGACGCUGAUGAAGCUCAAAGAGAUGAUGGAUUCUAAGGUGAACUCUAUUGAACACUAGGCAUUUGACCAUGAAAUUUUUUCACUAACAGCACUGGUGUUCUUUGCUCAAACCAAAAUUGACCAUGUUGCAAGUGUCUGCUGAUCUUAGUCCCACAAUCAAUUUGAAGCCAAAGCCAACUAUAUCUCACACUUUUCAAUACUACAACCAAUCCUCGGAAUAUUGACACUUAAGUUAUAAGCAUCAAAUAAUGAUUUUAAGCUAACACACACUCUGUGCUCUCCAACUAUCAAACAUAAUCUUAUCUUUAUUUCAAAAUUACGUUAGGAAAAUUUAACCUCUAUGAAUUUUUUCCUUUCCAUUUUGUUGUGAAGACCUGAAAACAAAGACGUCAUUGGCAUGCAGCCAAAAGAUAUGGACUGUAUGAGUGUCUCAUUUUCCUCCACAAGUGCACAUGUCCUCCAAUGCAACUCCCAUUUCCACUUGGUCAUCCCACUUUAGAGUUCUUAAGUACAUCUUGAAUAACUUCUUGCUACCAUUCUCUGAGCAAGACACUUUUAUCCUUUGUAGUUCUUGUUUGUCUACUAAAGCACAUCAACAUUCGUCUCACAAAUUCACUCUGAUAAGUUCUAAAUGGGGGCUUGUUCAAUUUAUCGCUUGAUAAUUUAUUUAUUUGAGAGGGAACCCAAAUCUUCAUACCUUUUGUAACUACCUUGUGAAGGUGUGCAACCAUUUUGGCAGCAUUUGAGCCUAAAACCUUUCUUGUCAACCUCAUUGAAACCUCUUGAACAAAAUAUGUCCCUAACUUCUCACCCUUAAAUCCUAUUCUAAGCAUUGGUUUGUUUGAAUAGCAAACAUAGGCCAAAAGCCUAAGUUGGGUGUGUGUCACGACCCAAAGUACACCCUAGACGUGACAUGGCAUAUAAGACCCCGUGAGGUUUAUUAUGGCAUCUUUAUUGAUUAAUACACAAGAGUAGGCUAUACUCGCUAUAACCCAAAGAUUAGGUCCAAGGCCGAGAAAAAUCUGAGAUGAACACAUGAGGUAGAUUUGGGUUCAUGCUUAUUUUUGGAGUAUAGUUUAAGUCAGGGCUAACAUAAGCAAGUUCGUUGAGAGGCAGUCUUCUGUCUUGUCAAAUAAUUUUGAAAGGGGGAGUAAUUAUUUAAAAGUGAGGUGAGUAGACGUUUUUAAAUAAGCAACAUGGUGACAUGCUAAGGACCAAAAAAGUUUCGAAGAUAGUCAGCUCUGAAUCUGAACUCUAUGAAUCCUACUUGGGUGAUUUGAUUGAUUCCUAAUUCUUCCUCACAUAAAAAUGUUCUUGCAGUUUCAAUAAUGUAACGAUGCUAAGGCAUAUAGAAUGGAGUAAAAAGAUGUUCAAAUUUUGGUAUCAAAAUGUUUUUCUACCUACGGAUGAAAUUUUUGAAAAAGCUAUUUGACUUCAUUUUUACCUUUUUAGUGUGUAGAGCGAAGUGUUUGUGUAUUGAUCAACAAAGAUGCAAUAAUACAUGUUUUUAUCAAGAGAUAGAACAAGACAAAUCACUUCAAAUAAUUUAAAGCGGUUUAGAGCUUUUCAGUGUCAAUUUAUAAAAUGGAUGUUAAUGAGCUUACAUGUGAGCUUGUGGAGGUGAAAUGGGCCACUCAUGCAGUCCACUUUUGUUCCAGCCGCAUGCCAACGAUGUCUGAGUUUUCAGAUUCUUCACAACAAAAUGAAAAGGAAAGCAUCCAACAGAUGUUAGAUUAUCCUGACAUAGUUUUGGAAACAGAUAUAAAAUAUAAUUUGAUUCUUGUAUGUCAGUAGAGCCAAUAUGUGAUAUGGAUUUGUUACCAUCGUGCACGUUGGCAUCCUUGUUGUCGUGAUACGAUUGUACGUUGUGCGGCUCCGUUGCGAUAUGAUGAGUGGCACCGGAGUCGAUUUACCAAGGAUUGGCAGUGGUAUUGAUUGGUAGACACUUGCAACAUCGCCAAUCUUGUUGCAUAGAAACAUUGAGUAAUGACAAUAGUGUUAUUGUUAUUCGAGGACUGAAAUAAUGGAUUUAUCAAAAAAUAAUAAGAUAAAACUGAGCCUUUUUUAUUUCUAUUUUUUAAUAAGGAGAGAUAAAUGCCAGUUCUUCCCAUUCUGAUUUUACAAAGCUUCUUUGAUUCUCAGUUACAAAAGAAACUUUUUUUAUUCCCGAUUCCCCUCUGGCCAAUUAUUUAGUAGAUGUAACUAAUUUUAACUUUUCUCCUUUCUUUAUAUAUCAUUCAUCUAGAAGACAUCUUGCAAACAUAUUCAUUGCCAGUAUCCACUAUUUAUAUUUUUUCCAUAUCUUAUUGACAGAUUAUUGAAGUAGAGUUGACAUCGUUGAGUCAACAGAGGAAGAUUGAAGAACUUGAAGCUCAACUUGAGGAAGCAGAAGAUAUUGUAAGUGAUCUCAGGGUUGAGUUGAGAGAAGUUCAAGCUGAACUUGAGAAAGUUGCCAGCAAAGAGAAAGAAGAAAAGCAAUCACUGGAUGUUGAUAGUACUGAUACUAGAGAACUAACAAAGGACAACACAGUUGUAUUGCCUCCAGAAUCUCAGGAUGAUUCAGUGACAACUUCUAACAUGGAAGUUGACAGUAUGAACCAGAAAACUGAGGGCUACCAUUCUUGUCAUACAAAGGUUAACCCUGGAAACUGUUCUGUUGCUAGUUCGGAUUUAAGUUUGACAGGCAAAGCUCUAGAGUUAUACCAAAAUGGACAUACACAGAUAAUUCAUGCUGCUGAAGGAAACCUGUCAGAUAGGGAAAUCAUUCAAAAUGAAACAUUUUCUGAACAUUCUUUGAAGUUGGAAAACAUGCCAACCAAUAAUUUCUUGACAGAUGAUUCAACUGUAGCAAGAGGCAAUGCUCCAAGUGAAGAUCCUUCUGAGAUGGUCCAAAGAUUGUCCACAGGAAAAGGUGAACAAGGCAUAGAGAUGGGAUAUGCAGAAAGUUCUGAUAAUAAACCGCAGUCUUUUGAGGCUUCUGGUGUUCAUUAUGCAAUAGAUGAGCCUGAGGAGUUGAUGGGGAAGAUGGAUCUUUCAGAAGAAGAUAUUGAAAAUGUUUGCAAUCAGUUGUUCUUUAUAAAAGAUCUUUGCAGUCAACUGUUAAAGUCAGAGUCAAGGGUGACUGAUGUAAACAAUCGGGUCCCUAGCCAACCUCUAAAUGAUAGAGUGUUUAAGUACACAUACCAAAGAAAGAGGAAAAGAGAAUUGUUGAGUGUAUCUGAUGAGAAAGCUUCAAUUGCAAAGAGCUCUCAAACAAAAAAAAAGUGUGAAACUAGACAGUCUUUUUGAGACACAGGAUGAGUUCAGUGACAGAAUCAUCUCAGGACAGUUGGCAAAUGGCAUUAGGUUGCUCAACAGGUUGGUUAUUUGCUUAUUUAUUCCCUUUGAUUAGUUGAUAAUUAUGUUGUAUACCUAUCUCUGUUUAUAUACUAAUUUAACUGGUAUACCUUCAAUUUGAUAUAUGUAGCAAGUGUUCCCUCACAUGAAUGUGACGAUAUGUAUAAUUUUUGGUAUGAGAAGGCAGGCUGGUAGAGCUCGUCCAAUUGUUAUAAUGUGCUUUUUUCCCAUCCAAAAUGAAACAAGAGAAAGGAGAGGUGUCAAAUUUGAUGUCUUUUUGGUUAUCUAAAAGUUUUAAUACAUAGAAAACUUGGAAGUUCUGUCUAUUUUUAGAUCUUUGUGGGGAAUUUGCCAGGAGUUCUGAGAAUAUGUUGCAACUCCAUUAAGGUUAUCUGCUUUCUGGACUUACUGACUGCCUUCCACAAUUUCAUCAGUUCCUAGCAUUUACAAAGUUUAUACUAAGGAGGCAUCGUUCUAGUGGGAAAGGCCAAACCUUCUACUCUUAAAAAGGACUAUGUUUAUAGUUUAGUCGACCAAAUUCGGAACUUGUUUAUUUUGAGGACUUUAUGUCAAGUGAAGUUUCACUAGAAGAACUUUUGGAUAAUAUUGUAGAAGUUUUUUGUGUUUGACCAUCUUUCCGAAGUAUCUUUUUGCAUUGAACUACACAAAAUGACAUGUAAAGAUUCACUUUAUAAUUAAUAUGUUUUGAAUAGGUAAAUUGAUUUGAUAUAUGCAUUAUGAGACUCUAGUUAUUCAACUUCUUUGCAUUAAAAUACAAAAGAUAAGUUCACAAAAUAGAGAGAGGGAGCAUGUUUAUGAGACUUUGGUCAUAGAUGGGUUGUUAACAAUGCAUGACAUUAGUUUUCAUCCAUAUGCUAAGGGUACUUUGUCUUCAAAAAACAAAAAACAGCUUAUGGUACUACUCAUAAGGAGAAACUAUUUUUCAGUUUCUUUGCCAAAACAGAAAAAUAAGCACACACUUUUAGUUUCUGAAUAGUUUGGUUGAACACGCUAGUAAGCUUCUUCAUAGAAAGAUGUUAUGGAAGUUGGAAUAUUCCAUCAGGAUAAAUUUUUCGAGAAAGAACAUUUAGGAAUAAUGAAUUUAUCAACUCUUAUGUUGGUUUAAUGCUCAGUACUGUUAAGUAAUGUUAUCAUAUUGCCCUAUUUUUGUUGGUGUGCUGCAAAUUUUGAUGACUGUUAAGAUGUUAACUAGUUUAAGGUUUCUGAAAAUAUGUUGUUUGUCUCUUGGUUGCUCAUAUCUUCCCUGUUUGUUCUCUGCAGCUAAUGUGUCUGUCUAAGAAGUGCUAGUGAAAUUGUGUGUGCCAUGUCUUCUGUGCUAUAAAAUAAGGAAUGUCUUCUGUCAGCUAUCUCUGAGAUCCAUCAUGUCAUUUAGGAUGGAGGUUUACGAGUGAGAUGCACGAUCCAAUUGAUUGUUUACAUGUCCAGCAGGGGCCGUAUCUAGCCUUAAUGCACCAGAUAACUUUUUCCCAGAUCAUGUAUUUGUAUCGAUAAAUCCACUAAUUAGUGAACCUAGUUUUUGUUGUAUAUUAACUUGAGAUCACUGUAGGAACUUGUGACUUUGUUAUCCAGUAGGUUAACUAUUAUUAUUGUUUUGUUUGGAUUUGGAUGCUAACCUUGUAUAUUAUGUAGCUUUCAAACUUAAUGAUGUUCAUCUUUCCUCUUUGAUCAUCCUUUUAGGAGAACAUUUGCGUAACUGGUAAAGUUAUUUUCAUGUGAUCAGGAAAUCAUGGGUUUGAGUUGUGGAAACAGCUUCUUGCAUAAAUGCAAACUCUGUGUACAACAAAUCCUUUUAGUCCGUCCCUUUCUUGGACCUGUGCAUAGCGAGGGCUUAAUGCACUGAUCUGUCCUUUUAGUCAUUCUUUUACAUAUUUAAUUGUGAAAUGUAUCUAUUGAUUAAGAAUGGGACUUUCAAAGAUAACUGAUGGAAUACUUCUGUUGAUAAAGAAUCACAUUUUUGGUAGUUUAUUGUGGAAUGCCUUUGCUGAUUCCUAUAUUCACAGUAUUGAUAGUUUAUCUCUUCUGAUGGUAUUAUGUCUUUGAAAUAACCUUUCACUAACAUAAUUUUAUAACUAAAAGACUUGUAACUAAAAGAUUGUGUUAGAGAGGUAAGUACGUCGCCAUUUUUUUUAUCAAGGGUUUCCUAUCGGAGACUUAAAAAUGGAAUCUUCUUUGGAAGAGAAUACAAAUUCAAAUUGGUUGAGCUCCAAAGUGAGUAUUGAAUAUUAGGCGACAAACUAAAAAAUUAAGAGUAAUCAAAUUUUAUCCAUAGUGAUAAAAGAUAUUAAGCACAAUAGCCUGAUUUAUUUUUAUUAAUAAAAGAAAAAUUAAAUGGUCAAAAGCUAACACAUUUAAACUAUUAUCUUUUCACAAGUUUUAUUUCUUACUAUCCAUUGUUUUAUUUAUCUAUUAAAUUAUCACUUCCUCUUAUAUUAGAACACACAUCAAUGUUGAGUUGAUGUUAAGUGAAAAAAUAUUUGUCCAACUACGCAUCUAUUUUAAUACAAAAAAAAAUAAUAGUUUAAUCUAGUAAAUGGAACCAUGACAAUUGAGGUAAACUCGCAAAAAAAAAAAAUUAUUUAGAUGUAUUUUUAACCAUUAAUUUUAAAAGAAAAUAAAAAGUGGUAGUCAUAAACCCCUUCCAAGUUGGAAAUAAGAGGGCUUUUUUUGGGGCUUUGCAAUAUUGAAGUCAUCUUCUCCAUUUCAAUCCCAACAACUAAACGUUCGAAGGCAAACGCCGGAAAAUGGGAGCAGCAAGCAAGGCAGGGGACUUGAUAUUUAAGGCCUUCGUCGGAGGGCUCGGUGUCACCACCAUUUAUCUGACGGCGACAUUCUCCGUCAACGUCUACCGUGGUCUCUCUUGGCAUAAAGCCCAAUCGGUAACCUCCACAAUCUCUUAUAAGCAGUUAGUGUAUGAUUGCUAGUUGUUUUUCUGUUUGAUGGAAAACCUAAUUGUGGGAUUUCUAGCUGUGAUGCCCUUUACCUUUGAAAUGAGAAUUUUUAUGGGUUUUGUGUAUUUUAUUUGCGAAGAUAUCUCGAUCCAUUUUUAGUAUCUCCAUUUGAUCUUCCGUCAUGCUUAUUUGAUUUCGUUCGUUUAUCUGUUACAUGGAUUAUUCAUUUGCCUUUAACUUGCUCAGGUUGAACGUGUGAUAUAUGGGUUUGGUUGGGUUGUUGAAAAUAUGCUUAAACUUAGUGAAGAAUUAGACUUGAGUGUAGCUGAUACUUUGCCCGAAUUACCUACUUUAACACACUCAUUCAUUCCGAUAUAAUCUGUUUGUCUUACUUUCAGUUUUAGUCUGUUUCAAAAAGAAAAUCUAUUUCCUUUUUUGCAACUCUUUAGUUCUAACUUCCCAAACUUUGUGCCAAGUCAAAACUAGAUAAACAAAUUGAAAUGGAGUGAGUAGCUCCUAGUAUGUCAUGAAGAAUGUCUUCUAGUACUAAUUUGAAAGAUUAACGAUCAUUUUCUUUCUCUUGUAGCAAUUGUUUGUCUAUUGCUUUUUGUAUAUUUGCUCCUUUGUAUUGACGCAAUACAUCAAUGAGGAUUGUUCAGCUCAAGAGUAGUGCCUCAUGUUCUGCUGGCUACUGGCCUCUACUUGAAAACCAUGCUGUUCAGUGUGCCAGACAGUCAAGUAGGACCGAAGUUCCAGCUGUCACUUAGGCGUUGGAAGAGCCUGUACCUUUCCCCUAAAUCUUAUCCAUAUGAUUUAGCUCUAAUAUUUUUGUGUGCUUACACAACAAGUUCUAAUUUAAUAUUUAGUUUGUGUUAACCGUGGUAGAUUUAUUUGAGAUAAACAUCAGUCAAUUGGUGACUUUUGUCAAAAAUUAAUAUGAAGAAAUACCUGUCGUUGUGUCUUUUUAAUCAUCAAAUUGCUGGAUGUGGACUUUUAAUGAGGUGUUUAGUUACUUAAGGGUAGGAGAAGGGUAAAGGAAGGAGAAAUUCAUUAGUUUAUGUCCCUCCCUCCCAUUAUUUGGAAUAAGUCGAAGGGAUAAAGAGAUAUUUUGUCCAUUUAGUCCUUAAAGAGGCUAAAAGAGCGGACUUGGAUAGGUAUCUAGCAGAACCUUUCACUUGUACUCCUAUCUCCUACCCUUCUGCUCUCUUUAAACAGACUGUAAAUGAAUUGACUUUUCCAAAGUGGAAAAGAAUGUGAUAAAAAAUGAAACUUUUCUGCUGCCAGAGAUCACUGAUCAGUGGAACUCUUUGCUGACCUAUUUCAGAGUUCAUCUAACAUGCAAGGUGGAUGGCUAUGUUGCUUGGACCCUCCAAAAAUGUUGCCACACCUAUAUAGGAUUCUUCAAUAAUGCUCUGCUUUUGGAGGAUCCGACAUGCACUUGUCGACAUUUUUAAAGAGUCCAAGCAACAUAGGUGGAUGGUUAUUUUGGUUUUCUUGGAGUCUUUUCAAAUGGGUAUAAUGAUUUUAGUUAUCAAACUACCAAGUACUGGUGCGCAAAAACUGAGCAACUCAAGCGCUUUCAUUUCUUGAGCACUAAUGAUGUAUUCAAGUGCAAUUGUUUCUAGUGAUCUAAUGAGUUCCUGAAAGAUGUGUUUGAGCAUGGGGCUUCUGAUUGAGAACAUACUUGAAGAGUUGUUUUGUUCUAAGUUGGCUACUUCACUCAUUGUGUAUGUGCAACUGCUUUAAGGCUGAUGUGUGUAAUGAGUCAAGUUAGCAGCUAGACCAUCCUUCAUGUUUUGUGCUUGCUAGCGUGCUAUAUUUGCUAAUUGGUAUGAAAUUUGGAACACUAUGUCCUUCUAGUUUCAGGCACCUGGCUAUGCAUCACAUAUGUUCCCUAGUCCCUGCACAUUUUGUGCGCUUUUUGUUAGUGAUCUUCUGUACAUAUUCUGCCUUUGGCCUAUUGAAUGCUGACAGUGCACCGUUUCUCCUAGAUCAUCUUUGCUGAAUCUGAAUGUUACGUAUCAUAUGGUUCGUUAAUUAAAUUGUUAGUUCUACAAGAACGCUUUCUGAUAUAUGACCUUUUUCUUCCUGCAAAUGUAGAAAAAUGAGAAAGAUGGAUCUGUAGUUCAGCAGGAAGAAUGACCCGUCUUCAAGUCCUACCCUUGGUCAUCGUGUUGCUAGCUGAGGUCCUGCCAGAAAUUUCGGAGUAUAUCUGAAUCUUGUCGCAUUAUGUAACGACUCUUUCACAGUUUUUCCAUAGGAUACUUAAAACACAGCAGCACUUCAUAAUCUUCUCCAUCCAACAAUCAAAUUGGAUGGACGGUAUGUCAUGUUUAUUCAUUUUCCAUUGCUAUAUUGUUGCUGAAAUUCUCCACAACGAUAUUCGGAGUCCCACAGUUGUAUGAUUUACCUUCAUUAUUAAUUCUAUUUACAAGUAACAUACAUAGAUAGCAUGGCAAUGGAUUUUCCUUUUGAUUAUGCAACCACCCAUAAAAGGCAAGUUCAUUUUGUGGUACUAAAGAUAUCACAACACAUCAUAUGUCAUACAAUAACCAAAAGAUGAAAAAUAAUGUAGAAAAUAGUAAAUUAGGUAAUUUCCUUUUAUCAUAUCUUACAUGCCCAUUUUGUAUUGUUUCCCAUAUGGUUCUUUUGGUGCAAUUCUAAAGGAAACUUGUAUCCAUAAGCAAAAAAGCAAGGCUAACUGCUUUUCCAUUGAUAGAGAAAUGCCCAUUGCGUAUAUAUACUCAAAUGUGGAAUUAGUUACUUGUGUGGUAAAACAUCACAUUUGAAUAUUAAUUUAUUUUUUCUAAAUAACUUUACAUAUUUAACUAAUAAAUUGAAUUAGUAUACAUAAUUUUGUUUUAGUUAAAAAUAGUACUAGUACAUUGUAAGCAGUUUAGAGAAGUUGUAGUUAGAGAAUAAUUUUGAUUAACCAAAUAAUGAGGACACAAUAGAGUAACAUCUUAUUUGUUCAUGUCAAUGUUUCUCUUGUCAUGACAUUGUCCGGAUAUCGAGAGUCAAUUUUUUAAAAUUAAAUUUGGACAUAUAAUCUUUAAGUUUUAUUUUUAUUUUUUGUGAUAAGGGAAAUUUGCAGUUGCUAUCCUUCUUGUGCAUACAGGUAAAACCCUUGCUCCUAUGCAAUAGCUCGCAAACCACACAAGAGAGCUAACCUGAACUAGGCAAAUCCAGUGUAACGAGCUCGACCUAAAAAAUGAACAAACCUCUUGCUUUUGCUGGCAAGGGGUUUCGAACUUGAGACCUCCAAUAUGGAAGUCCCAAGACCGUGAAUAGUAAUUUACAUAUUUAGAAACUACAUAAAAAUACUAUAAGUCACACAAAUUAUAAAUUUAAAACACAUGAAUAAAUCGCAAUCAAAGAUUUUCUCGUUUGAUUUUCAAAAUCUGAAUAAUGUCAUACAAACUAGGAUGGACAGGAUAAUUUUUUUUUUAUUGAAUGUCCUUUUUGAGAUUAUGUACAUUUCAACAAUAAUAACAUAUUCAAUAUAAUCUCAUUAAUAAAAUAUGGUUAAGAUAUGAUAUUAAUGAGGAAUUAAAAGACUAUUUUCGAUAAAAUCUUGUUCCGAGACUUUAACAAAACAGGGUUGCGGUAUAGAUUUGGUAACAACCAAGGGCAAUUUCGGUACACUAUAUUUUAUAUAUAGUAAAGUAAAGAACUUUUCUAAUAUUGAAAAAGCCAAGCGUUACACAAAGCAAAUUUCCGUUAUCUUCUCUCUCUAAACCUAUCCACCUAAAUUCUUCAGAUAUAUUUCUCUGAUCAAUUUUUAGGGUUUUUCCCAAAUUUUUGAUUUACCGAUUCCACUCAGCUAACAAUAAUGGUUUCCGAUUCAAUUGUCAACGUUUCAAUCCCUGUUGCUUCCUCUAAUCCCAGAGAUUUUGGCAAGAAAAAAAGGGUAACAAUUUGUUAAAUUUGUUGUUUUUUUUGUUCUAUUUACUUUUACAUGUUGAUAAAAUUUAAGCUUUUAUGGAUAUUUUUUACCUAAUUUGAUUGUGCUAUGUAUUUCUGAUAUUUGCUGUGAAUUUCAGGCUAAUCGGGCGGCUAAGUUGAAGCAGUGCAAGCUUGAUGCUCGACGUGAACAGUGGCUCUCACAAGGUUGUUAAAGUUUCUCCUUUUUUAGCAUAUCUUUCAUGUAUUUUAGUAUUUAGUAAUCUACCCUUUUUGGUUGGGCUAAAAUUCAUUUCUUUGGAAUUUGGACUUGAAUAUAUACAAUUACCAAGUUUUUUUAAUAAAUAUUUUGUCAUAUUAGUUCUAGUCAGGGGUAUUUCACACCCAUUGAGUUAAAAUUUUGGCUGAAGUCAUAUGCCAACACUUGGGGCGAAGUUUCACUUAGACAGUUUAAACAGCUGAAGUAGGGUUUGCCUGUGCUAUUUUGAUAAUUUUUGCAUCUGCUUAUAAAAAUCUCAGGCGUGUGUGCAAAAACGUUUCUUAUGUGGAUUAAUUGGUCAUUUAAGUUACUGUAACUGUCUAGAUCAUGUUAUUCACACGCCACACCCAAAAUAAAUAAAUAAAUAAAGAGAAAAUGUAGGCCAAAACACAUAGCAAAGAGACCAAUGAAUCAAUGACAUGUGGCCUUUUUGCCCAAAUCUACGAGGUAAGAAAUCCUAAUUUUACGGAGAACAUAUGUCUUCUUCUAACCUAUAUAUGUCAUACCAAUUGUUGUGAUUCUAAAGUCAUAACAAUUCUACAAGAACAAGAACAAAAAAAUUUCCGCAGUUCUUGGCCUAUAUAUACAUGCUGUAUUCAUCUAUCUCAUUGUGGCGCCUUGCAUAUAUUAUGAUUUAGAGUAUGACUAUGUUCAAAAAUUUAAUGUCCAUAGUAAAAUAGUGUCAGUUGGUGGAAUAUUACUCCAACCUGUUAAAGUUAAUUGGUUUGUGUUGCUUGAAUGGAGACAUCCGGAAAAGACGUGUCUGGAAAGUUCCUUUUUUUAUCAUGUAAAAAUAGAUUUCACACUAGACAAAAUAGUCAUUUAAGUAUCUUUUUAUAUUUAGGACAUUCCGAAUUAACUAAAAUUUUGAAUAUUAAAAUAUUGUCCUAAAUUAAAGUGAAAACACGUUUAUUAAGCAGACCUCCCAACCCCAUCCAAAUUGUCUUCUCCGCGGCCAUACCCCUCCUUUUUCAUUGUCUUUUCCGCCACCCCCCACCCCCCACCCCCAUUUGAUUGUCUUCUUUGCCGCCCUCUGCAUCCUCCCAUUUCUUUGUCCUCCACAAAAAGCAAGAAAGUUCACCACAAACACCACUCGUCCAUUGCUCCAAUGGAAGAGCGGAAUUGCUCCAAUGGAAGAGCGGAACUCAAUGUUUCAAUAUUUUGCCAGCGAUAGAUCUUAAAGAAUGUCAAUUUUCUGCAUGUUUAUUACUCCAUUACACAGAAAAAGCUGCAAUAACAUGUCCAAGAUAAACAUCAUGAUUUUUAUUACAUGGAAUGGUGGUAGAUGGAUUUGCUGAAACAAUUUUUAGAAGCUCCUUGACUUUUUAAAAAGUAAAUUGGAUGUCAACGACAAAAUAAAGCAAAUCACUAUUUCACAAAUCCUAGAAUAAAUUUGAGUCGGAAAAUUUGACCUCCAUUAAAGGAGUUUAAGCUUGGGGAAAUGGUGGGAGGUAGUGACUGGAAAAAUAGAAUAAAAUUUGCCAAAUAAACCCCUUAAAUGCGCUACAAAUGAGUGUAUUAACUCAUUAUGCCAUGCCAGCAACAAGUGUCUUAUUGAUACGAAAUUCAGGUAUUGUUAGUGUGUAGUAGGUACACAAUCUACUUCAGGUGUCUAAGUGAAACUUCGUGUCAACUUUAGUUGUUUGCGUAUGACUACAGCCUAAAAUCUUUGAAGGUAAAAAAAAGUAUGUGCAUUUGGUGUUUGAAUUAAUUAAUCUCAAGAUUGGUACUUUUCUGUGUUUCUGUGAUUAGUUAUGUUGCUUUCCUAUAUUUAUGUGCCUAAUUCUUGGUGGUUGGGGCUUGUGUAGGGAAGAAUAAAAGCUCCAAGCAGGAACUUAAUGGUGGGGGUGGGGCUUGUGAGCAGGGGAUGCAGGUUACUAAUGAAAAGGGCCAAUUGAUGGAGAAGUUAGCUAUAAAGCCGAGAGGAAAAGCAGAGGAAAAUGGGGGUUACACGAACACCUACAGUGAUUUUGAUUCACCUUCUAAUAGCCCCACCAGCCACACUAGUAGUGUGUUGGAAGGAAAUUAUUCUGGGACCAAUUUCACUGGUGGCAGCAGCAGUAGCAGCAGCAGUAGCAGUGGUGGUUUUAGUAGCAGUGGUGGGUGUUGCUCAGUAAGUAUGAGUGAGGAAGAUAACGAAGGGGACGAUGACUGCUUGGAUGAUUGGGAAGCUGUUGCUGAUGCUUUAGCUGCCACUGAUAAGGAGCAGGAGCAGCAUAACUCUAGCUUGGAUUCAGCUCCAGAGGUGCAUAUGAGUUUUCAACAAGAAGUUUCUGACGGGAAGGUACCAGUGAUGGAUACAUCACAGCAGAAUCCCAAGGGCAGAGGAACUAUACCUGGAUUUCCUGUCAGCUUUCAGGCGUGGAGGCCCGAUGAUGAAUUCCGUCCCCAAAGUCUUCCAAAUUUGUCAAAACAGUAUACUUUCCCUAUGAAUUCGGGGCGGCAUUACCGGGGAGGCUCUGUCUGGGGAUGUAAAAGUGCAGCAAUACCCACAUCAUGUCCUAUAUGCUGUGAGGAUUUGGAUUUUACAGAUACAAGUUUUCUCCCUUGUCCUUGCGGGUUUAGGCUUUGUCUCUUUUGUCACAAGAAGAUUCUUGAGGAGGAUGGGCGUUGUCCAGCUUGCAGGAAGCAGUAUAAACAUGACACGGUUGGAGGAGAGACAACCAAAGAUGCAGGCGGCCUGAUGUUUCAAGUGGCUCGUUCCGGUAGCAUGAUCUCAAGGUCAUAGGAAGAUUCUGUUUUUCUAUAAAUGUGUAUGUUGUGUCCUCUUUCUCUGUGUGGCUUGACUUUGUCUUUGUUAGACUCCAAUUUUUCUUAGCAUUAGAUGUUGAUAUAGGAUCGAGAUUCUGAAAGCACAGGGGAACUGUUAUAGUUCUCUUAUAAUUUUUCUCAUUAUAGAUAUGAUGCUUGUGCUAAUGUAGAAGACUCCUUAUGUGAAUAGAUAAGGUGGAUAAAGGUUAGAUAGAUUGAAUUUGAUGGUAUAAAUGUCCUAGUCUCUUUGAGCACUUCGUCACCUUCUAUCAGAUUUCCAUGAAUAAAAAUGAGAGAACAAUGGGGCAUCAAUCUUUGCAUGAAUAUCUUUCUUUUUGAAUAUUUUUGCUGCUCUUCAUCUUGACUUUUUGCUAUGAAUCUGAUAAAAUAUACAGCAUAUAUAUAUAUAUACACACACAUACACCUCAAACUUAGCAGUUAACUGGUCUAUUGCUCUCACUUUUCUCUUCAAUUCAGUUUGGGAUCGAACCACAAAAUGCAUCCUUACCACAUUGUGGGCUUUUAGUUCGGCAGAUAUGUACUGAUAAGUUUACUGCCACCAGAUAUGUAUCAAUGCUCUGCCUCAAGGUAAUAAAGAAGUGAAUUUUGGGGAUAGAUAUUUAGAUUCUCUUGCGAAAUGCUAAGUUCUUGCGCUUUGGGAGUCACUUUUAAAGUGUAGGGAUUUAUGAAGUGAAGUAGUCUUGUUGAGAUUAGACUGUUCAGCUGUAUAUUUGACGUUCUUAUUUUUUGUUAUCUUUGUUGUAUUACCUAACAGUUCUAUAUUCAAAUUGUGCACUCAUUGUGUGCUCACUGGACAUGUGGAUUAGAUCAUUCUUGGGGGGUGUUCAUUUGGAAGUAUCUCGAAAAAUGUUCUAUUCCUUGAGCUUCUUAUAAGCUGGUAAAAAUAUCAAGUCCUUCAAUAUGGUUAGUUUUGUUGAAAGCUAACAUUUAUGUGGACUUUUUCUAAGCUUUAUAUAGUCUACUUACUGGAUCUUGACAAGAUUAUGUUAGUGUGACAAUUGAUUUUGGAGAAACAGCAGCAAUUAUGUGGUGUUGCUUCCUUUUUCCUGGUACAAGUUGAUUCCUUUUCCAUGGAACAGAAGACAUUGUGCUACAGCUAAUAUUCUCCUUGCUGUUCUUGAAGUUCAAUUCCUUUAGAGCCUCUGGUUUGUUUCAGGGAUAAACACAUGAGAUCUUUGCAUGAUUCCCAUGGCUGAUAGAUAAAAGUUUGGUUCUGUAUGAUUUAUUAUACAUUAUUAUGAUGUUCACGAGUUUCGUGAGGUUAUCUUUUCCAAAUUUUUGUAUGGACUUGGCUGUCAGUGAGUCCCAAGUAUGGCUUGGAUAGAGGAAAGAAAAUCUCAUACAACGCGAAGGUGCAGUUGAAACCUUUUGCUGUCACUAUGCUGUCUAGGUAUCUUCCUAUUAGAAGUUGUAAAAUUGAAGUUUUGCUAGCUUCGUUACUUAAAGGUUCUUAAAACAUAAACAAGUGGGAAAUUCUCGGUGUACAUGGAAAAAUUGUGAGUUUGUUGUAUCCCAACCUUAAAUACUUGAAUGUUGCUAUUCUUGCUGCUAAUUUACCAUACAAGUAAAGCAGUUCUCAGGAAAAUUGAAACAUCAUCAAUUAUCUGAGCUACAUACAUCUGGUUACUCUCAUUGAAGUAAUGUGGAGCUGCUAGUCUAUCUUUUUAUUAUUAUUAUCUUAAGCAAAUACCAUCUGGCUGCUAUUAUUAGGGGCAUUGGAAUAUACGUGGUGGAAUGUUAUAGGUGUCUGUAAGUUGGCUCGGAUACCAUCUUUAUCAAGAUAUUAAGGCGCAAGGCGCUAAGGAGUUAUUUUCUCUGAUACCCAAGAUGUCUGUUUGUGCUGAGGAGGGAGUGUUUUCCACCAUUUGGUAUAGGUAGAUUCAGGGAAGAAAACAUCAUCGCCAAGAAGGCUACUCUGGAUCCAGAUAUUCGCAGCUGUUUCUAAACUCAGAACCCUGUCUUGCACUUGUGCAAAUAGCUUGUUUCUUAGUUCCUCCACUUCGGCCCAGAAACAAGACUCGGAACGUGCACCAGCUUGCACUUUAUCAAAAUGCUCUAACCAUCUCUGUGUGAACCGAUAACGCUUAGGCCUAGCCCUGAUCAAGUAAGGUCCAGUAUCUUCAUUCUUCAAGUGCCUGUAAUAGUUUGCAAUAUCCAAGGGCUCAACUUGCCUGCGAAACUGUGUCCCUAGUUCUAUCCAGUCUCUUCGUCCCUCAAAGCUAUCUGGGAGCUCAUACCUUUUCAACAUUUCAAUGAUCUCAUCCCAUAUACCUGCUAGCUCAAGCCUUUUCACAUUAGCUUUGAAGUCAUCUUCGGUGUUUUGAAUCUUGAAUGCAUCAUAAUACCCAACUUUACGGAUAUCACACUUGGUCUGGUACUCCUGUAUCUUGCUUAAUGCGUCCCUGAUGCUGCUCUUAUUUUGUUCAAUCUUUUCCUCGUUCUUCUUCUUCUGCUUCUCCCACUCUCCUGCUGCACGAAGACACAGCCUUGCUCUUGUGCUCUGAGAUUUAGAUAAUGUGAAAACGCCUAUUAGCUUGAGCAAGAUAGACAAUUCUGUUGAAAAUGAAAAAUUAACCAUAUCUAUUGCUUACCAGGCCAAGGUCAUUCAGUGCUGAAUUCAUACUUGCAACUUCACCCCUUAGAUCAACAUUUGAAGAUAAAGGAAUAUCAGUGAGAUUGUUGAGAUGAACAACAUCUUGCAUCUCUAAGCUAUCUUGCAUUUCGUUUUUAUAUAACAGAUGAUCAUUUAAGCUUCUAGCACCGACUACUGCAGCUUCUGCUUCGGAACUCAGUUGAGAGGAAUAGAACAGUAACUGCAGAACAGCAUCAGGGUUCUCAACGACAACCAGUUUCCUAUUCCCAGUGCAGAAGAUGUAAGUUCCAAAGGGUCUAUAAGGGCUGAGUUGAACAAUGUUGGAAACAGUUUCCAACAGCAAGUUUGUGCAUCCCUUCAGAUUACAUGCAGCAUAGCUUGCAACAGAGGAUGCAUUCCUCAUUACAGUCAUAAAGAAAUUCAAUGCAUUACUUGAUCGUGCAACAGCAUCGCGCUGAGAAUACUGGGACUUCGGAUUGAUGAAGGGAGAGAUUGCUUGAAGCAAUUCUUGAAUUGAUGAAAGAGGAGCAAGCAUCAUCCUGGGGACAAUGUCGUACUUCAUGACAAAAUGUAUGAAGUAACGAGCCCAGUUUUCGCGCCUGAGGGCAUGAGACCAUAUCUUGUUGCCAACAAGAGGGGAUCCAAAAGUCAUACAGUAUAGAUGGACUAACAUGUCACCUUCUGGUCUUGUGCGGCAACAUUCCAGACACCAGAGAGCUGCCAGAAUAGCUAUAGCACCACCGGACGAGUGCCCUGCAAACACUACUUGUCUUCCUUUUGACAUUGCCGUCUCCACCUAAAACCAACACAACUCCAUGAAUCAAUAUUCACUUUCCAAAUCAAAGAUGAAGGUAUGAAGCUUAAUUUCCAUUAACCUAGUCUACACUCUACAGAGGCAUUAUCAUGAUAGAAUCUAUGAUAGGAAUCAGUACUCUAUUUAAACUUGGAACAUAUUGCUGACAUGAUAACUAAUACUCCCUUCUUUGCAACUUAAGUGUCUUACUAUCUUUUUUGGUCUGUUCCAAAAAAGAGUCUCUUUUUAUAUCUUGUAAGUUUUCCAAUCCCAACACUCUACAAGGAGUUUAAGACCAAAAGAUUUAUAGGACUACACACAUAUUUAAAAGUCUCCCUUUAUUUCUUAAACCCCAUGUCUAGUCAAACUAUGACACUAAAAUUAGGACGGAGGGAAUAAAUAAACCACUAGACGGAAUCAAGUUGAUCAAACUGAACUAUCAGGAGUAGAACUUCCAAUGCUCUUAAAAAAAAUUGAAUCAAAAUGAAAAAAUUCUUUGUCUAAAGACUUGCACAGAAUUUGAUUCUUUAACUGGUGUACACUCAAGAUGUAAAAAACAUUUAUCUAUAGGUUAUACUAAUAUUAAACACUACAAUUUUUUCGUGUCAAGUCAAAAUCAAGACAAACAAAUUGAAACAAAAGGAGUUUUAAGAAAGAACAAGAUGAUUGAACCCCAGUAUGUAUACCUCCUUUUUAAGUGAAGAUUUGUCCAGUAUGUCUUGAAAUCUUCUAGCAAAUGCUUCAUUGACCUUAGCUACCUCAUCAGUGCCAACACUUCUCAAAGAUGGAAACAGAGUGGUGUUAAUCUCUGUCUCUCCAAAAGAAGUGUUACUGUACCAACCAUCAAAAGACAAAGUUCCAGCAAAAGCAAAAACAACAUCAGUAGACCGAUCUAUUUUCUUGUAAAUAUAAGGUAUCCCAGGUGAUAAUUUGUGAGCUUCCAUGGCUAAGUUACAAGCUUUCUUGAUUAGCUCUUCUCUGACUUCAAAUUCCUUCUUCCAAAUUUUUCACCAUUUUUUGCUUCUUAGCUGCUUAAAGAUUGCAACUUUACUGUUUAGUUUUCAAAAAUCUUUGAAGAAAGAUUGAGGAUGGAGAGAUGGAAUGAAGGUAAAGGGGAAAUGGGUAUUUAAGCUUUUGGUGAUUGGAUGAAAUGUAGAGGAAAUGAGUCAUUGACUUUUGAAGUCUUUGUUUUGCUUUGCUUGACUCUUGCCUGUGGAAAUUGAAUAGGAAGAUAAAUAGUAUCUAUCAAGGAAAUUUCCUACUAAUUGUUCUGCAAAAUGGUUAAUGUACGGACUCUUCAAAAAUGUUAUUUUUAUAGAAAUGAUUACUGUGGAAGGAUUUGAUAUGCACUCGCUUUUUAUUUGUCGUGAAUUCCCCUUUAUGUCUUCCAUAAGAACAAGAGGGAUGGGCUCUCCGCCAACACUUUUCAUAUACUUGUCGACAUUUUUAAAAGUUUGAACGACAUUGUAUAUUUUACUUUUAUUUUUGUUCUAGCUUGUUUCAAAAAAAUAUAUCAUAUUUCUAUUUUACUUUUUAAAAUAGUACUCCCUCCGUUUCACAAAGAAUGACCUUCUUUCCUUUUUAGUCAGUUUCAAAAAAAUGACCUCUUUCCUUUUUUGGUAACAUUUUACUUUUUGCUUUCCACGUGACAUGUUUAAGACCACAAGAUUAAGGACAAUUUUGUACAUUUAACAUAACUUUAAUUUAGGACCACAAGAUUCAAAAAUCUUCUUUAAUUUCUUAAACUUCAUGCCAAGUCAAACCAGACCAAUCUUUUUGAAACGGAGGGAGUACUUUAAUAUAAGCUAAUAUGUAAUGUUUAAGAAUACAAAUACUUUUAUUUUGUUAUGCACGUAUUUAAUUUAAGAGAACAAAAUUAAAAGAAUCUUUUUCUUUAUAUUCUACUCCCUCUGUCCCAUUUUAUGUGAGAUAGUUUGACUCGGCACGAAGUUUAAGAAAGAAAUGAAGACUUCUAAAAUUUGUGGUCCAAAAUGAAUGAUAGAAAUUUGUGUGGUUGAAGAAAGAUUGAGGAUGGAGAGAUGGAAUGAAGGUAAAGGGGAAAUGGGUAUUUAAGCUUUUGGUGAUUGGAUGAAAUGUAGAGGAAAUGAGUCUUUCAUAAGAGCAAGAGGGGUGGGCUCUCUACUAACACUUUUCAUAUAUUUGUCGACAUUUUUGAAAAGUCAUUUAAAAUGAAAUAGUAUAUUUUACUUUUAUUUUUGUUCUAGUUUGUUUCAAAAAAAUAUAUCAUAUUUCUAUUUUACUUUUAAUAAUAGUACUUUAAUAUAAGAUAAUAUGAUAUGUUUAAGAAUAUAGGUAUUUUUAUUUUGUUACACACGUAUUUAAUUUAAGAUAACAAAAUUAGAAGAAUUUUUUUCUUUAUAUUCUAAUUUUUAUGCACAUUACACAUCAAAUGCGACCGACACAUGGAAAGUGAAAAGGGGGGAGCAUAUUGGUGCUAUUAUAUUCUUUCUCUUGAUUAUAUAUUUUGAAAAGUUGGUACUUUCUUUGUUUUUUCUUUAAAAAAAUUUAUAAGAAAUAAAGGUUGGGAAGUUAGACAAGGCAACUCGUUUUGAAGAAAAAUAAAAUUUUGGGAAUGACAAUCAAAAUAUCUCGUGUUCACCUUGGAUCCAAAGAAGGGCCUAACCCGAGAUACAAAUAGAAUAGAAAAGCUACUUUGUUAUUGUCUCUAUUUGAUUAAGGUUUAUUAAAACUGUUUAGUGAUUAACGAGCAAAACAAACAAUUCUAAUAGACUAGAGUUUAGUUUUGCACAUUAUUAAAACUGCUUUAUGGACAAACUCCCUUUCACUAGUUCCUUGAAGGUGACUUGUAAAAAGCCCAUGGUUCAGCAGAAGUAUACUCUGUCACCUGCUUAAUGUUCAAGAAACUUUCAAGACCCCUGCAUCAAUGCACAAACGAUUAUCACUUAUCAGUCCGAUCAGAUCAGAUCAGAGGUAUCAAGUUUGUGCAUUGAAAAAUGAUACAUAGCUACUUAUCUGGCUGCUCUUAUUAGGGGCAUUGGAAUAUACGUGGUGGAAUGUUAUAGGUGUCUGUAAGUUGGCUCGGAUACCAUCUUUAUCAAGAUAUUAAGGCGCAAGGCGCUAAGGAGUUAUUUUCCUUGAUACCCAAGAUGUCUGUUUGUGCUGAGUAGGGAGUGUUUUCCACCAUUUGGUAUAGGUAGAUUCAGGGAAGAAAACAUCAUCGCCAAGAAGGCUACUCUGGAUCCAGCCAUUUGCAGCUGUUUCUAAACUCAGAAUCUUGUCUUGCACUUGUGCAAAUGGCUUGUUUCUUAGUUCCUCCACUUCUGCCCAGAAACAAGACUCGGAACGUGCACCAGCAUGCACUUUAUCAAAAUGCUCUAACCAUCUCUGUGUGAACCGAUAACGCUUAGGCCUACCCCUGAUCAAGUAAGGUCCACUAUCUUCAUUCUUCAAGUGCCUGUAAUAGUUUGCAAUAUCUAAGGGCUCAACUUGCCUGCGAAACUGUGUCCCUAGUUCUAUCCAGUCUUUUUGUCCCUCGAAGCUAUCUGGGAGCUCAUACCUUUUCAACAUUUCAAUGAUCUCAUUCCAUAUACCUGCUAGCUCAUGCCUUUUCACAUUAGCAUUGAAGUCAUCAUCAGUGUUUUGAAUCUUGAAUGCAUCAUAAUACCCAACUUUAUGGAUAUCACACUUGGUCUGGUACUCCUGUAUCUUGCUUAAUGCGUCCCUGAUGCUUCUCUUAUUUUGUUCAAUCUUUUCCUCGUUCUUCUUCUUCUGCUUCUCCCACUCUCCUGCUGCACGAAGACACAGCCUUGCUCUUGUGCUCUGAGAUUUAGAUAACGUGAAAACGCCUAUUAGCUUGAGCAAGAUAGACAAUUCUGUUGAAAAUGAAAAUUAACCAUAUCUAUUGCUUACCAGGCCAAGGUCAUUCAGUGCUGAAUUCAUACUUGCAACUUCAUCGCUUGGAUCAACAUUUGAAGAUAAAGGAAUAUCAGUAAGAUUGUUGAGAUGAAUGACAUCUUGCAUCUCUAAGCUAUCUUGCAUUUCGUUUGUAUACAACAGGUGAUCGUUUAAACUUCUAGCAACGACUACUACAGCUUCUGCUUCGGAACUCAAUUGAGAGGAAUAGAACAGUAACUGCAGAACAGCAUCAGGGUUCUCAACGACAACCAGUUUCCUAUUCCCAGUGCAGAAGAUGUAAGUUCCAAAGGGUAUAUAAGGGCUGAGUUGAACAAUGUUGGAAACAGUUUCCAAGAGCAAGUUUGUGCAUCCCUUCAGAUUACAUGCAGCAUAGCUUGCAACAGAGGAUGCAUUCCUCAUUACAGUCAUAAAGAAAUUCAAUGCAUUACUUGAUCGUGCAACAGCAUCGCGCUGAGAAUACUGGGACUUCGGAUUGAUGAAGGGAGAGAUUGCUUGAAGCAAUUCUUGAAUUGAUGAAAGAGGAGCAAGCAUCAUCCUGGGGACAAUGUCGUACUUCAUGACAAAAUGUAUGAAGUAACGAGCCCAGUUUUCGCGCCUGAGGGCAUGAGACCAUAUCUUGUUGCCAACAAGAGGGGAUCCAAAAGUCAUACAGUAUAGAUGGACUAACAUGUCACCUUCUGGUCUUGUGCGGCAACAUUCCAGACACCAGAGAGCUGCCAGAAUAGCUAUAGCACCACCGGACGAGUGCCCUGCAAACACUACUUGUCUUCCUUUUGACAUUGCCUUCUCCACCUAAAACCAACACAACUCCAUGAAUCAACAUUCACUUUCCAAAUCAAAGAUGAAGGUAUGAAGCUUAAUUUCCAUUAACCUAGUCUACACUCUACAGAGGCAUUAUCAUGAUAGAAUCUAUGAUAGGAAUCAGUACUCUAUUUAGACUUGGAACAUAUUGCUGACAUGAUAACUAAUACUCCCUUCUUUGCAAUUUAAGUGUCUUACUAUCUUUUUUGGUCUGUUCCAAAAAAGAGUCUCUUUUUAUAUCUUGUAAGUUUUCCAAUCCCAACACUCUACAAGGAGUUAAAGACCAAAAGAUUUAUAGGACUACACACAUAUUUAAAAGUCUCCCUUUAUUUCUUAAACCCCGUGUCUAGUCAAACUAUGACACUAAAAUUGGGACGGAGGGAAUAAAUAAACCACUAGACGGAAUCAAGUUGAUCAAACUGAACUAUCAGGAAUAGAACUUCCAAUGCUCUUGAAAAAAAAUUGAAUCAAAAAGAAAAAAUUCUUUGUCUAAAGACUUGCACAGAAUUUGAUUCUUCAACUGGUGUACACUCAAGUUGUAAAAAACAUUUAUCUAUAGGUUAUACUAAUAUUAAACACUACAGUUUUUUCGUGUCAAGUCAAAAUCAAGACAAACAAAUUGAAACGAAAGGAGUUUUAAGAAAGAACAAGAUGAUUGAACCCCAGUAUGUAUACCUCAUUUUUAAGUGAAGAUUUGUCCAGUAUGUCUUGAAAUCUUCUAGCAAAUGCUUCAUUGACCUUAGCUACCUCAUCAGUGCCAACACUUCUCAAAGAUGGAAACAGAGUGGUGUUAAUCUCUGUCUCUCCAAAAGAAGUGUUACUGUACCAACCAUCAAAAGACAAAGUUCCAGCAAAAGCAAUAACAACAUCAGUAGACCCAUUUAUUUUCUUGUAAAUAUAAGGUUUCUCAGGUGAUAAAUUGUGAGCUUCCAUGGCUAAGUUACAAGCUUUCUUGAUUAGCUCUUCUCUGACUUCAAUUCCUUCUCCAAUUUUUCACCAUUUUUUGCUUCUUAGCUGCUUAAAGAUUGCAACUUUACUGUUAGUUUCAAAACCUUGAAGAAAGAUUGAGGAUGGAGAGAUGGAAUGAAGGUAAGGGGAAAUGGGUAUUUAAGCUUUUGGUGAUUGGAUGAAAUGUAGAGGAAAUGAGUCAUUGACUUUUGGAGUCUUUGUAUAGCUUUGCUUGACUCUUGCCUGUGGAAAUUGUAUAGGAAGAUAAAUGGGAGUAUGUAUCAAGGAAAUUUCCUACUAAUUGUUCUGCAAAAUGGUUAUUGUACGGACUCAUAUUAAUUUUAUAGAAAUGAUUAUUUUUGAAGGAUUUGAUAUGCAUUCGCUUUUCAUUCGUCGUAAAUUCCCUUUUACGUCUUUCAUAAGAGCAAGAGGGGUGGGUACUCUACUAACACUUCACUUUUCAUAUAUUUGUCGACAUUUUUGAAAAGUUAUUUAAAAUGAAAUAGUAUAUUUUACUUUUAUUUUUGUUCUAGUUUGUUUCAAAAAAAUAUAUCAUAUUUCUAUUUUACUUUUAAUAAUAGUACUUUAAUAUAAGAUAAUAUGAUAUGUUUAAGAAUAUAGGUAUUUUUAUUUUGUUACACACGUAUUUAAUUUAAGAUAACAAAAUUAGAAGAAUUUUUUUCUUUAUAUUCUAAUUUUUAUGCACAUUACACAUCAAAUGCGACCGACACAUGGAAAGUGAAAAGGGGGGAGUAUAUUGGUGCUAUUAUAUUCUUUCUCUUGAUUAUUUUGAAAAGUGGGUACCCACUGAAGGACAACUUGGUGGUUGGUACUUUCUUUGUUUUUUCUUUAAUUUUUUUAUAAGAAAUAAAGGCUGGGAAGUUAGAAAAGGCAACUCGUUUUGAAGAAAAAUAAAAUUUUGGGUAUGACAAAUAAAAUAUUUCGUGUUCACACUGGAUCCAAAGAAGGGCCUAACCCGAGAUACAAAUAGAAUAGAAAAGCUACUUUGAUAUUGUCUCUAUUCGAUUAAGGUUUAUUAAAAUUGUUUAUUGAUUAACGAGCAAAACAAACAAUUCUAAUAGACUAGAGUUUAGUUUGCACAUUAUUAAAAUUGCUUUAUGGACAAACUCCCUUUCACUAGUUCCUUGAAGGUGACUUGUAAAAAGCCCAUGGUUCAGCAGAAGUAUACUCUGUCACCUGCUUAAUGUUCAAGAAACUUUCAAGACCCCUGCAUCAAUGCACAAACGAUUAUCACUUAUCAGUCCGAUCAGAUCAGAUCAGAUCAGAGGUCUCAAGUUCGUGCAUUGAAAAUGAAAC
This 71372-nucleotide long non-coding RNA is filed under the name Solanum tuberosum (potato). RNAcentral's name for it is "long non-coding RNA (STUB_LNC006790)". The record is from RNAcentral. Lineage: Eukaryota; Viridiplantae; Streptophyta; Magnoliopsida; Solanales; Solanaceae.